CUACUAAGAAGCAUGCAAGGAAAAGGAAAUGUACAUCUAUUAACCCUAUAAUGCAAUAUGAUCAACAUAUAUAUAACUUAGACAUAAAAAGAAACCCGGAUGCUUCGGGAUGACACCCCCCACCUCUUGAGGGUAUGAAGGCUCUAGAAAUGCCCUCCAACGGACGUUACGACAAAGUCUUGGUCUUCUUGGUCCAAAAUGACGCUCAAUCGGCCUUGUUUUGCCGAUAGCUCUUGACCCACUUGACGAAUGCGAAAUCCAACCUCGCCCCCGCGUUUAGCCACCUACCAAUUAGGUUAGAGGAGGGUCAAAUGAGAUCAAUCCUCUACUUUUCCAAAAACCCUAUUUUGGAGUCCUAGGGUUCCCAUCUUGCCAUUUGCAAUUUGGAACCCUAACUCUAGCUUCAAUCCACCAACAAUGGUGCUUGGGUUCCAUUUGACCCCAUUCCCAAAGCUAAAAACCAAAAAACCCCAAAUUUCACAAGCUAGGGUUAGAAGCUUAACUCUAGGUUAGCUCCAAGAGAGAAGAGAGGAAGAGGGAGAGGUCCAAAGCCUUCCUAGAUUGAUCUUCUUCUUCUUCUCCUUCCUUUUCUUCCUUCUUUUCCUUCUGUUUCCUUCUUUUUCUUCUUUUUCUUCUUUUCUUCUAGAGAGAGAGAUGGAGAAAGAGUGUGAGAGAGAGAGGGAGUAGAAUGAGAGAGUGAGGGAGUAAUCUCCCAUGUAUACCCCUCUAACUAAGGCCAUUUUGCAUAAAAGCCCCUCACCUUUCAUCUCUGUGCACUGCCCUCACUGGGCUGUCUGCGCGCGGAGGGACCGGUCUCCCCGACUUGGGACCGGUCCCCGAGAGCUUCAGCUCGGGUCACGCGUUCGGGUACCGGUCUCUCCCAGAGAGACCGGUCCUCGGGAGACCGGUUCCUUCCUGAGAGACCGGUUCCCGAGAGCUGGGAUUUAGGACUUAGCCAAAUUUUGGCUUUUCUCGCUGGGAUCACGUUCGGGAACCGGUCCCUCACUGCCAGGGACCGGUUGCCUCAAGCAACCCCCGCAACACCAGCCGAUGGGACCGGUCCCUCCCUGCCAGGGACCGGUCCCCGAGAGCAAUUUUGCUCCAGUGCAGAUUUUGCACUAUUUACUCCCGUGGACUCGUUUCCAAUGCACUUUUGGUGAUUUGAAUACCUUUGGCUUUUUUUUCCAAGGUACACCAACACGACCCUUGGUCGAUUCUGGAUGAAGUCUAAUCCUCGUAUUUCAAGAAUUCACUUCCUCACAAGCUUACCUCAAACAAAGUCCUCCCAUGGUGAGGAAGAAGAUGAGAAGAAGAAGCUUCCUCUUCUUAGCUUCCUUCUCCUCCUUUGUUCUCUUUUUCUUCUUUUCCUUUUCCUUUCCUUCCCUUUCUUUCUUCUUCUCCUUCUUGUCUUCUAGAGAGAGAAAGAGAGGAGAGAGUGUGAGAGGGUGUGAGGAAAUGAGAGAAGGCCCUCAUAACCCCCUCAACAUAACCCAUAUAUUGCAUAAAUGCAAAUAAGCCCCUCAGCUUUUAUUCUGUUACACUGCCCAGACUGGGCGCUUCUCGCGCUCGGGGACCAGUCUCCCCGACAAGGGACCGGUCCCAGAGAGCUCUCCCUGAAGCUGGCAAAGCUCCAGCUUGAUGCAACCGGUCUCUCUCUGGGGGACCGGUCUCUCGGGGACCGGUCUCUCCCCGCAGGGACCGGUUCCCAAGAGCAGGUUUUCUGGGACUUCGCCAAACUUUUCCUUUUCUCACCUUUCACGCGUACGGGGACCGGUCUCUCCUUCAGAGACCGGGGACCGGUCUCUCCUUCAGAGACCGGUCCCCGAGAGCUGAAAACCUGCAGAAUGCAGAUUUUUGACUUUUAAGCUCUCGAAGACCUCCCAUAACGCACUUUUGAUCAUCUUAACACCUUCGGACUUUCCGAAGUGUACCAUCCUCACACCUUGGUCAAUUUGACUAAAGUUCGAUAUUUAUUUUCCGAACUUUCGGUAUAUUUCAGUAGCCUUGCUCGGCAUAUUAAUAUACAUUAGGUGCAUAUAAUUAUUUCCCCUUUUUUCAAUUAAUUUUACCAACAUAAACACACCUUCAUCUUUUCAACAAUUUAAAAUAGGGUUAAUUGCAUACACGUCCCUGCAAACAUGGUGAAUUGCAGAUAUAUCCCUGCAAAACUAAAUUUUCAUAAGUUGUCCCUGCAAAAGUCCUAAUAUAUGCAGAUAUGUCCCUGCUGUUAGGGUCUGUUAAAAAAUUUCGUUAACCACAGUUAAAAACUUAAUCAUGGUUAAUUAAUAAUGUGAAUUGACGGUUUUACCCUUCUUCCUCUUCCUCCUCUUCCUCUUCCCUCUUUUUCGACGCCGGCGAGGAAGGAGAUGCGGCGGUGAACCCUCUCCCUCUCCCUCUUUCUCUCCCUCUUUCUCUUCUCCCUUCUUCUUCCUUCCCUCUUCCUCUUCCAUCUUCUUCGUCGCCGGCGAGGAAGGAGAUGCGGCGGCGGCGGCGAACCCUCUCCCUCUUCCCUCUUCCCCUCCCUCCUCAUUCCCUUCUUCCUCUUCUCUCUUCUUCUUCCUCCCCUUCUUCCUCUUCCCUCUUCUUCUUCCUCCCCUUUUUCCUCUUCCCUCUUCUUCUUUCUCUUCUUCUUUCUCUUCCAUCUUAUUCGUUGCCGGGGAACCCGACCCCGAUCUUGCCGAAGCGCCGCCGCCGCCGUCCGCUCCGACGGCCCGAAGAGGGAGAGAAAGAGAAAGAGGAAAUACUUUUGGAGGGACAUAUUUGUGAGGGCAAAAAUAUUAUUUCACAAAUCCACUGUUAAAAAAUAAACAGUUCACUAAUGGAUGUUAACCAGAGGGACAUAUCUGCAUACAUUAGGACUUUUGCAGGGACAAUGUAACAUAUCGCAUCCCCGUAGAACGUGCCAAGUUCCGUCGAAAUGAGCGGAACGCGGAGUCGGAUGAGUUACAAUGGGUUCUAAGUGCAUUAGGACCUUAGUAUAGAGUAAAGGGACCUAAGAGAGCAAAAUUGUGAAAAUCUGGCUAAGUCCCAGAUUUUGAGCUCUCGGGUCCGGUCCUUGCGGGGAGAGACCAGUCCCCGUAGGUUGGAAAAUUGCCCAGCGGCUAAGUUCUGAAAAUCGUGCCCUCAGGAACCAGUCCCUGGAGGAGAGACCGGUCGCCGUGCGCGUAGCCAGCCAAAAAGAGUGAAAAUUUAGCUAAGUCCUGAGAGGUGUGCUCUCGGGAACCGGUCCCUACGGGGAGAGACCGGUCCCCGUAUGCGAAUUCUGCCCAGGAUGGGCUGUUGUGAAAAAUGGAAUUGAGAGGGGUUUAAGUGCAAAUCUGCCAUGUGUAGGUGUAUAGAAGUGAAUGGUAUUGAAUGAGAGCUCAUUUGCUCUCAUGCCAAUACCUAGGGCAACCCUCUCUAUCUCUAAAAACCUCUCUUCUCUCUCUCCUUCUCUCUAGAGCUUGGACCAAGGAGGCUUUUUGGAGGGAUCUAGGUAGAGAAGAAGAAGAAGUAGAAGGUGUAGCUUGCAAGAGUGCAAGUGUACAAGGAAGGCUUGGACUCCAAGGUGAGUUUCUAAGGUUUUGAGUUAGUGUUUGAGUAAUAGCUUCUUGUAUGAGUAUCUAGGAGCUUCUAUGGUGAUUUCCCCCAUGUUAUUCCUGUAAAAGGACUAGUUUUGGGGAAGAUGACAUUGUUGAGGGACCUAAGGUUAGGGUUUUGGAAUUUUGAGGUUCAAUCUUGGGAUUGAUCUCUUUUUAACCUAAUUGGUAGGUCAACGAACGCGUUGGUGCGCUCAGUUCGGCGAAACGACGAGCGUGCGCGGAGAUAUUGCGAAAAGAAGCUAAAUUGGUACAGAUUGCCGCAGCUUGCGGCGUAGAAGUCUAAAAAUCGUGAAAAUUGGAUUGCGGCAUCUUAGCAUCACCAAGAGGUGGGGGGUGCUAUCCAGAAACACCGAAUUUCCUUCUAUGUCUAUAUUAUCAUUAUUGAAUAUAUUGAUGUUAGCAUUCAUGCAUAUAGGGUAGUGUGAUGAAUAUGAUUGGUUGAGAUUCAAUUGUAUGCUAGAGAACAUAUGAAUUGAUGUAGAACCAUAUGAACUAAGAAUGUGAAAAAUCCUAUGUGUAUGUGAAUGUAUGAAAAUGAGACUAUGACAAUAGUAAACAAUGGUGAUAUUGACAUUAGUGACGAGAUUGGCACUGAGCAUAAGAACGGCUAAACAAGGUUUAACCUAGAAUGGCAUCAGGACCAUUGUGGCUCAGAUAUAGUGGGAAUGUGAUAUGGUAAUGACCUAUCCUUGGCAUUGAGGCUUUGUGCAUUGAGACAGGUUUGGCAAUACUUCCUCAAUUUGAGGAUUGGAUCGUACUCACACUGGCUUUGGCUUAAGGGAGGUAGCUCCCCCUCAAGCGGUGUACUCCUGAGUGUAUACACCACGGGGAGAGGCCUCGUCAUUGUUCCCUCGGGUAGUAGUGCUAGUAGCCUCCCCCGGUAGAUGGGAAUUGUGGUUCGUGAGUUUGGGGUGAACCAUGUGUACCCCGGGAUGAUUGGGUAAAGGCCAAAGAAAAUGAGAACAAGGACAUGCAUGCAUAAUAUUAUGAAUACGAAUAUCUAUCUGUGGAUUGUUUUCUUGCAGGCAUUGUAUUAGAAGUGUAUUAGUUGGUUUGUUAUCUUCCUUUAUUGAAAUACAUAUGCCUCAAUAGACCCAAUGGGCGAGUCGGCGCGGUCGGCGGCCGAACCCACUGGGAACUUCUUUUAGUUCUCACACCACCACUAACCCUGCAGAUCCAUGCGCAAGCGGGACGGCGGAGGAUCGAGGCAAGGGAUUAGCGGCGUAGUUAGCGGCCCACAGAGUUAUAGGCAUACCCUAUGCUGGAGUAUUCAACUUUUGUAUGUUGAACUAAGAAAUGCAAAGAGAUGUAAAUCAUAUUUUGGUUGAUAGACAAUGUGAUGUAAAUGUGAAUGAAUGAGAAUGAAUGUAAAUGUAAUAGAUUACUUGUGUUUGAUUAAAAUGUAAUCAAAUGACAUGUAUGUGGGUAAAUGUUUAGUUUAGUAUCGAUGCUUUCACGUGAGAUGGUUGUUGUUUGCCCUCGUGUAAACGUUAUAUAAUUGCAUUCAUUUGUGUUGAAUUGCUUGUAUUAUACAUGUUGUUGGAGCCUUAGGCGGACAGGGGAGGUGCAGUCCGUUCGGCGUCUGUUCGCGUGCCCGAACCGACCAAAUUGACGGCUCCGGGGCAUGACAGACAACUUAUGGAAAUUGUAUUUUGCAGGGAUAUAUCUGCAAUUCACUAUGUUUGCACCGACGUGUAUGCAAUUAACCCUUUAAAUAAGUCAUUAAAGUUUAACAUUUUAGUUAAAAAAAGUUUAUACAAUAGCUACUAAAACUAUUAAAUUUGAUUAAACUAUUAAAUAAAAUUGUUAGAAUAGAAAAAGUUAAAAAAUAUCUAUAAAAUAUAUGAAUUCUCAAUGCAGUUGGGUCACAUCUAACAAAAACAGAUAGUGACGUCAUCAAUUAAACAAUAAACUAAUGAGAACUUGCCAAUUGUCCGAUGAAAAUUUGGAUGUACCCAUUAACCAACUUUAAAAAUUAUAAAAUAUAUGAAUUCUCAGUGCAGUUGGGUAACAUCCAACAAAAACAGAUAGUGACAUCAUCAAUUAAACAAUAAACUAAUGAAAACUUGCCAAUUGUCCAAUGAAAAUUUGGAUGUACCCACAAACCAACUUUAAAAUACACAUAAAAGAUAAAUUUAUAUUAUUCAAUAAAAUUUUAUAUUGUAUAUUUUAUAUUAUAUUAUAUUUUAUAAUAUUAAUUAUUAAAUAUUUUAUCAAUCAUUUAAUACACCAUGUAGUAUAUGAAGCAUUAGUAUGGGAUAUUAUAUUAAUAUACGUUAGGUGCAUAUAAUAGUUUCGUAUUUUUUCAAUUAAUUUUACCAAGAUAAACACACCUUCAUCUUUUCAAUAAUUUAAAAUAUGUCAUUAAAGAUUAACAUUUUAGUUAAAAAAAGUUUAUACAAUAGCUACUAAAACUAUUAAAUUUGAUUAAACUAUUAAAUAAAAUUGUUAGAAUAGAAAAAGUUAAAAAAUAUCUAUAAAAUAUAUGAAUUCUCAAUGCAGUUGGGUCACAUCUAACAAAAACAGAUAGUGACGUCAUCAAUUAAACAAUAAACUAAUGAGAACUUGCCAAUUGUCCGAUGAAAANAAAAUAUUAUAUAUUCGUCACGGGAUUCUCCAUUAGUAGAAUGGUUGGGGUUGGGGCCACUUUUUUUCUUUUUCCUUUUUUUUUUUUUUCUCGGCUUUCCAUCCAAUUCGUUUAUCUCACAUGUUCCACUGAUUUGUGUAGGGGGGAUAAUUUCUAUCCAAACGAAUUCCCCUCUCUUAUUAUAAAAAUUUUAAAAGUAUUUAAUUUUUUUACACAUAAUAUUUUAUAUAGGUUAGAUUGGUUAUAUUAAAUAUAAAUUUUGAUUUAUAAUAUUAAUCGCUUAAAAAUAGGUUGUACAACAAAAAUAAAAAAAGAGAGAUAGAUUGACGGAGUUUAAUUAAGUUAAUUAUUUAUACUAAUAUAUUAAUUUAUAGUUGUGAGAACUGUAUAAAGUAUACUAACUAAAUCUAUAUAGAUAAACGAUACAUUCAAAUUUCAAAGUCAAAAUAUUAUUGACUGGCUCAAAUCAAAUAAAUUGAAAGUUUGGAUCGUAAAAAUAAAAUUUGAAAGAUUAGAUAGAUGAUUCAAAUUGGUCUAUAAUUUAGGAAAGUUUUACAUGUUUUUAUUUUGAUUUUAAUAACAAACCGUAACGUCAUAUUUAUAGUUGAUGAGCGAUCAACCUCACACUUAGAAUUUUUAGAAAUAUCCAAAAUAUUGUAAUUAGGUAUUCUAAACUUUAUUAGAUAAUUUAGUAGGUUUAUUUCUUGAAUGAAAUUACUGCUUGAACAAAAUCGAUCAAUGUUCAACUCCUUACUUCAUCUGGAAUAAAAAUAAAAAUAUAUGUAUGCUGUCUAUCUCUCAAAAAAGAAUAAAUAGUAAAAAAGUAAAUUACACUUUUUGUCACGCCCCGCGACCGCUACCAAUUUGGUCCGGCCCGGGCGCGUCGAACAGACGCCGAACGGACAGGACCUCCCCUGUCCGUCCAAGGCUAACCAACAGAUCGUGCAUAAGAAUUUACCCAGGAAUCAAUUCAUAAAUACACGAUCAAUAAGCACCACUAGUGCCAUAAACAAGAGCAAGAUACAAGUAUAGAAACAUAUACAAGUACAUAAGAGAGAAGAGACUAUCUAUUACAUUCAUUUGAUUUACUACAUUUAGAUACAUCUUUUACAUUCUUCCAAAAUAUAAAUACAAGCAAUCAACCCUCGCCCUAUACAACAUCUACUCUCAAAUACAAAAGGGGUGACGGCUAAUGCAAGAAGAGGAGGUAGCUAAUGCGACUAGAACGCCGGGCCCUUACCGCGAUCCUCACGCUCACCGGGGACACCCGAACUGGAACCUGUGGUAAAAUGGGGGUGAGAACUAACUUCCUUAGUUCCCAGUGGGUUCGGCCGCCGACUCCGCCGAUCUCCCCACUAGGUCCAAGCGGGCAUAAGUAGACAAUCGAUAGAUAGGUAGAUAGAUAAGGAAAGCUGUAAAUGGCGGAAAUGAAGCUACGCUACCAUGCCCAAUCAUAAGUAUAUGAAUGCAUGUCCAAUGAAAUAGGUAAGCAACUAAUCUGUUAUCAUGUCCAAGGGUGAAGCUAUUCACUCGUUCAUUAACCUCAUUUACUUGUUCAUUAAUCUCAUGGCUUACCCGAAGGCUCGCCUACAGCUCACUAGCCAUCUCGACACGUAGGGAGAAUUAACUCACACUACGGACCCGAGACCGUCUGGCGGGGCCAAAUAGGCAAUCCCUGGCGUGACCAACAUCCGGAGCGCACUACUUGUGUGGGGCUUCCAUCACAAGAUUUAACAGACCGUGAGCAUGAUCCAAUCCUCUAAGCUCGAGGAUACCCUGUCCUCUAGAGUCACAAUCAUCAUAUAGUCCAUAGGUGUCGCAUACACUAUUAACUAGAUUGUCCGUUUGUCCGCUAUCGACUAGAUGCCACUCGUUCAUAGUUUACUAUUAACUAGAUGCCACUCGUUCAUAGUUCAUCAUUUUCUCUACAUCAUAGGAUUCACAAUCUCGACCCAAUCCUUAUCAAUCCAAUAUAUCAAUUAUCCGAUGUACGCUACGAUACCAUGAAGGAAAAACAUAAGGAAAGGCAAUGCAUACUAAUCCUAUAAUGCAAUAAUACAAGAUGCAAGAUCAAAUAUACUAAGACAUAGGAGGGAGCCCGAUUGCUUCGGGAUGGACACCACCCACCUCUUGGCGAUGCCGUGAUAGUAGAAAACUCGACGUUGGGGUUCUUGUACGCCGCUUCAACUCCUCGGGGCGAAGCGAGCCCUCGAGUACCCGAUUCGGCGAUUUCUCCGCACCCGCUCGUCGGAUCGAGAAACCGACUUCGCCGACGCGUUCCGGGACCUAGCAAUUAGGUUUGCGACCUAUUAGAUUAGAUCAAAACCCUAGAUUUACCAAAAACCCAAUUCCGUGCCCUAGGAUGGCAACGGGGAAGAAAUCCGUGGUGCGAGCUUCAAUUGCGAGCUCGAACCUUCUCCCUAGUUCCAUUAGGUCCCAUUCAAACCAUAAAAACCCCAAAACCCUAGAAACACCAUUAAAGGGUUUAGAGCUUACCCCUACACAAGGUUCCUUCAAGCUUGAGGGAGAGGGAGAGAAGAAGAUAUCUUCUUCUUCUUCUUCUUCUUAGUCUUCUCUUUCUCUUUCUUCUUCUUUCUCUUCUUCUUCUCCUUCCUCUUCUUCUUCUCCUUCUUCUCUUUCUUUUCUUUUCUUUCUUAGAGAGAGAGAGAAAAGAGGGUAAGAGAGAGAGAGAAAGCAGCUGAGAGUGAGAGAGAGGGGUCCCCCACCUCUAAUAAAGGCCAUUUUGCAUAAAAGCCCCUCAACUUUCACCCUAGUGCACUACCCUCACUGGGCAGUUUUCGCGCGGAGGGACCGGUCUCCCCGACUUGGGACCGGUCCCCGAAGGCUGCCAUUUCGAGCAGAGGGAUUUUCGCGUUCGGGAACCGGUCCUUGCCUGAGAGACCGGUCCCCGGGAGACCGGUCCUUGUCCGAGAGACCGGUUCCCGAGAGCUGCAUUCUCGGGACUUAGCCAAAUUUGGCUAAAUCUCGUCGGGCCAACGUUCGGGAACCGGUCCCUGCCCACCAGGGACCGGUCUCAUCAGAGACCUCCGCAACCCAGCCUGAUGGAACCGGUCCCUCCCUGCCAGGGACCGGUCCCCGAGAGCAUUUCUGCUCCAGUGCAGAUUUUGCACUGGUGCUCCCGCGGACCCUUCUUUAAUGCACUUUAUGCAUUAUAAUCGCCUUCGGGCUUUCCGAAGCCUACGCACUCGACGAAUAGUCGAUUCUGGUCGAAGUCUAAUCCUCGAGUUUCGAGAAUUCACUUCCUUACAUCCUUCCCACCUUAAAAGAGUUUCGUCCUCGAAACGAACUCAAUACUCCAAAACUUGAUUAGAAUUUCAAAUUCUAAAUUCAUACCUCAAUUUAGCCUUCAAACAGGCGAGGAUGAUUCGCCUUCAUCUCCUCCUCGAGCUCCCAGGUGGCUUCGCGAUCAUCAUGAUUGCUCCACCGGACUCGGACAUAAGGAAUCUCUCGACUCCUUAACUUGCGCACUUCACGAGCGGUAAUUGCCACCGGGAAUUCCUCGUAGCUCAGAUCCUCCUGAAGUUCCGGCGGCUCAUAUAGCAUUACAUGCUCGGGAUCGGGAACGUAUUUGCGAAGAUUGGAGACGUGGAAUACGUUGUGCACAUCCGCAAGCUUUGGCGGCAACGCGAGCCGAUAAGCCACCGUCCCAAUCCGCUCCAAGAUCUCAUAGGGGCCAAUGUAUCGGGGACUUAGUUUUCCCCGCACUCCAAACCGCUUUACACCCCUCAUAGGCGAGACCUUCAAGAAGACGCGGUCACCCACCGCAAACUCUAGAUCUCGCCGGCGCCUAUCCGCAUAGCUCUGUUGUCGAGAUUGCGCCGUGAGUAACCGUUUGCGAGCAAGGCGGACCUUUUCUUCCGCCUCCCGCAGCACAUCGGGGCCAAAUUCCGCGCGUUCGCCCACGUCACUCCAAUAAAUAGGAGAGCGGCACUUCCGCCCAUAAAGAGCUUCGAACGGUGCCAUCUCCACACUAGCGUGAUAACUAUUGUUGUAGGCGAACUCGGCCAUUGGCAAAUACUUACACCAGCCUCCUUUGUAGUCGAUGACACACGCUCGCAACAUAUCCUCCAGAGUCUGAAUGGUUCUUUCAGUUUGUCCGUCUGUCUGGGGAUGGAAUGCAGUACUGAAAUCGAGCCGUGUGCCAAGGGCCUCCUGCAGGCUUUUCCAGAAAUGUGAAGUAAACUUGGGGUCUCUAUCCGACACAAUCGAUUUCGGCACCCCGUGUAAUCUCACUACCUCAUCAAGAUAUACCUGCGCCAACUUAUCUCCCGCCCAGGUGGUGUGGAUCGGCAAAAAGUGUGCUGACUUGGUCAAGCGGUCCACGAUCACCCAGAUUGCGUCGUGUCCUCCUGUCGAGCGAGGUAAGCCAACGACGAAAUCCAUAGAUAUGUCUUCCCAUUUCCAAACGGGAAUAGGUAAGCUUUGAAGCUUCCCCGUUGGAAACCGGCGCUCCGCCUUUACUUGCUGACAAGUCAAGCACUUCGCCACGAAGCGCCCAAUAUCAGCCUUCAUCCCCGGCCACCAAUAGAGUGCCCUCAACUCAUGAUACAUUUUGGUGCCGCCCGGGUGAUCCGCAUAUGGAGAUCGGUGAGCUUCUUGCAGGAUCAACUCGCGAAGUUCUUCAUUUUCCGGCACGCACCACCGGUUUCGAAACCGGAGCGCACCACCGGCGUCCACACUGAAAUCGCCAUCUCGUCCUUCCUCGAUAUUGCGCCGCACCUUUUGGAGACUCGGAUCUGCAGGUUGCAAAUUUCUGAUCCUCUCCAAUAAGGUCGGUUGGAUAACGAGCGCCAUCAGCUGGGCCGGGACCUCGGGAGCGACCACUUCAAGGUCCAGCCGCUCCAUCUCCAGCCCUAGGGGUGUUUGCCGGGUAACAUCAAAGGCGAGGUUCUUCGCCGACUUCCUACUAAGUGCGUCUGCGACCACAUUUGCCUUGCCGGGGUGGUAGAGAAUGUCGACAUCAUAAUCUUUUAAUAGCUCUAGCCACCGCCUCUGUCGCAUAUUCAGCUCCUUCUGGGUAAACAGGUACUUCAGACUUUUGUGGUCGGUGUAGAUCUCGCAGUGUGCACCGUAUAGGUAGUGCCUCCACAACUUCAGCGCAAAGAUCACCGCCGCCAACUCCAAGUCAUGGAUGGGGUAAUUCUUCUCGUGGUCCUUCAGCUGACGGGAUGCAUAAGCUAUCACCCUCCCGCCUUGCAUCAGGACACACCCCAAGCCCAGAUAGGAUGCGUCGCUAUAAACCACAAAGUCCUCGCCCUGCACCGGUAAGGCGAGUAUUGGAGCCGACGUCAAUCUUUUCUUCAACUCGUUGAAGCUUCGAUCACACUCGUCGCUCCAAAUGAACUUGACGCCCUUCUGAGUCAAACCGGUAAGUGGAGUUACAAUCUUCGAAAAGCCUUCCACGAACCGUCGAUAAUAGCCCGCUAAGCCCACAAAGCUUCGGACCUCCGUGACAUUCGUCGGGCGUGGCCAAUUCUCGACCGCUUCGACUUUCCUCGGGUCAACCGAAACACCACCCUCGGAAAUUACAUGCCCUAAGAAGGCAACUUCUCGAAGCCAGAAAUCACAUUUCUUUAGCUUUGCGAAUAGCUUCUCCUCCCGAAGGAUUUGAAGCACCGUCCGCAAAUGCUCCGCGUGCUCCUCGUCGUUCCGCGAAUAGACCAAGAUGUCGUCUAUGAAGACCACGACGAAUCUAUCCAGGCACGCCUUGAACACACGGUUCAUCAGGUCCAUGAAUGCAGCCGGGGCAUUAGUGAGCCCGAAAGGCAUAACCGUGUAUUCAUAGUGUCCAUAACGCGUACGAAACGCGGUCUUCUGAAUAUCCUCCGGCUUGAUCUUUAACUGAUGAUAGCCGGACUGUAGAUCUAUCUUCGAGUACACUCGUGACCCUUGUAAUUGGUCGAACAAGUCAUCAAUUCGGGGUAACGGGUACUUAUUCUUAAUUGUGACCUUAUUCAACUCUCGAUAAUCCACGCAGAGUCGAAACGAGCCAUCCUUCUUGCGCACGAACAACACCGGCGCUCCCCACGGCGAUACACUCGGCCUGAUAAACCCUUUGUCGAGAAGAUCUUGUAACUGAUCCCUCAAUUCUCUUAACUCUGCCGGCGCCAUGCGGUAUGGGGCCUUUGAGAUCGGCGCCGUCCCGGGAAUCAAGUCUAUAACGAACUCGAUCUCCCGAUCCGGCGGCAUCCCCGAUAACUCCGUGGGAAACACAUCCGGAAAUUCCCGCACCACCGAUAAAUCUUCUAAUUUCGGCACCACCCGGUCCACCUCCACGACGGUCGCCAAAAAUGCCGCGCAACCGCCGCUGACCAACUUCCUAGCUCUCGUCGCCGAUACUGUCGCGACGAAGCAAGAACUCCGACAAGCUUGAUAAACGAACUCCUUCUGUCCGGGCUCCCGAAAAGUGAUCAAUUUAUUCUUACAAUCGAUCGUGGCGUAAUACUUCGAGAGCCAAUCCAUACCUAAAAUAACGUCGUACGCCUCCAGUUUAGUGAGUUCCAACAUCCGAAUGGGCAUUAUCCAAUCACCCACUUGCACCGGACACGACGAGCACUCCGUAUAGGUGUUAAAUGAUAACUCGGGACCCUCGACUCGCCACUUGCCACUUGCUUCUAUGGGUAUGUCAUGCAUGCGUGCAAAUGCUCUACUAAUAAAUGAAUGCGUGGCACCCGUAUCGAACAUAGCUCUGGAGCGAACUCCAUUGAUUAGAACCAUACCUGCCACAACAUCAGGCUCCUCGGCUAGGGCAGGCUCCUCGGCUUGGGCCUGAGCGGCGAAUACCCGUCCGCUCGGCGCUGAUCGAGUCACCUCCGGCUGGCGCGGCGCCAAUGCGCGUCCUGCUGACACGGGAACAUAGGGGGCCCCUCCCUGAUAAGGCGGGGGCGCUGGAGCCGAUGCGACCGACGGAGUAGACGAGGCCCUUGCCGGACAGUCACGGCUAAUAUGUCCUUCUUGUCCGCAGUUAAAGCACCGUCCUUGUCGUUGACUACACUGCGGUGCCCGAUGGCCUCGAUCUCCACAAAUAGGGCAACGCCGCGGCCCACGGCCCCACGACUGCGACCGCGGAUGCUUCGGGGGCCUCCUCGAACUCGACUGUCCACCCGAACCGCCGCCCGAUCGCUUCUUCCCCUUGUCUUGGGAUCCGGCCAACAACUCACGCUCCUCCCGCACAUGGGCAUCUCCAUGCUCUGCCCACAGCGCCUUGUUGAAGACCUCGGCGAAAGUUGUGAGCUGGAAUAGCUGCACCGCUCUAUAUAUCCAUGGCCGAAGUCCUCGCAAGAACCACUCGGCUCGAUCCGCGUCGUCCUUGACCACGUCCGGGACGCAGUCUAUAAUGUGGGAGAACUCCUGCUCGUAGUCCGCCACCGAGCGAUCUCCCUGCCUCAACUUGCGAAACCUCUCCUUCAACUUCCGCUUCUCGGUGUCGGGGAAGUAGUUUCCGAACAUCUCCUUCUUGAACUCCUCCCAGAGCAUUGGCGGAAGAUCAGAGGGUCGAUCCCGCUUCAACCGCUUCCACCACACCUUCGCCGCCUUGUCGAGGCAAUGGGUGGCGAAAGGCACCUUAUCUUUCUCCGAGGUAUAUAGGUCCUCGAAGAGAGUCUCCAUAGAGUCUACCCAAGACUCUACCACCGACGGCUCCACUUUCCCCCCUUCAAAAGUUGGUGGCUUAAACUUCAUAAACCUCAUUAAAGCCGUUAGCGCACGCUCCCGCUCCACUUCAUCGGCCGUCGUAUCAAGCGUCGCCGAACCCGAAGCUGUCGGAGGCGCACUUGUCGGCGGGGGAACCGCCGCCAUCGGAACCGCCGCUAUGCCCUCACCCUCGGCCGCUACCGGCGUGCGUGCCGAAGGUGCGGGCGGAUCGCGAUCUCCUGCCGCCGUCGCGGCCGCCGCCGCUGCCGCUUGCCGCUCCACAACUUCCUGGAGCUGCUCGAACCGAGCCUCCUGGCGCUGCAUCGCGCCCAACAUUGCAGCGACCUGCUCCCGCAGCUCCUGCACCUCCUCCGAUCUUGGCUGCUCGGGCUCCGCAGAAGGCGGUACCGGAGCAGACCUACGCGCAUAACGCCUUGGGGACAUUGCUCCUGAAAAGCAACAACUCGGUUAGUUAUCUCAAUCCGAUAACUUCCUCAACGUUCACAAAACUAAACGACUCAACAAUAAAAUCGGGCGGAAGCUCGCAAGUGCUCUAGUGUUGGACUCUUAGCGUUGCGUCGUCGGCCGCCGACACAACCACUACAAGCCAAGAACUAGUGUCACUUGUAUCCGUCUCUAUUCACAGCUAGAGAUGUGCCAUCAACUUCGACCCAAUCAAUCAACUUCCGCCACCGCCAUGGGUUCACGUUCACUCACGUCCCUAUAACCUUAGGGUUCACCAACCUAGGGUCUCCUAGGUCAUCCUAGACUCUCUCUUUACUUGCUCUUAAGUGCUCUGAUACCACUUUAUCUGUCACGCCCCGCGACCGCUACCAAUUUGGUCCGGCCCGGGCGCGUCGAACAGACGCCGAACGGACAGGACCUCCCCUGUCCGUCCAAGGCUAACCAACAGAUCGUGCAUAAGAAUUUACCCAGGAAUCAAUUCAUAAAUACACGAUCAAUAAGCACCACUAGUGCUAUAAACAAGAGCAAGAUACAAGUAUAGAAACAUAUACAAGUACAUAAGAGAGAAGAGACUAUCUAUUACAUUCAUUUGAUUUACUACAUUUAGAUACAUCUUUUACAUUCUUCCAAAAUAUAAAUACAAGCAAUCAACCCUCACCCUAUACAACAUCUACUCUCAAAUACAAAAGGGGUGACGGCUAAUGCAAGAAGAGGAGGUAGCUAAUGCGACUAGAACGCCGGGCCCUUACCGCGAUCCUCACGCUCACCGGGGACGCCCGAACUGGAACCUGUGGUAAAAUGGGGGUGAGAACUAACUUCCUUAGUUCCCAGUGGGUUCGGCCGCCGACUCCGCCGAUCUCCCCACUAGGUCCAAGCGGGCAUAAGUAGACAAUCGAUAGAUAGGUAGAUAGAUAAGGAAAGCUGUAAAUGGCGGAAAUGAAGCUACGCUACCAUGCCCAAUCAUAAGUAUAUGAAUGCAUGUCCAAUGAAAUAGGUAAGCAACUAAUCUGUUAUCAUGUCCAAGGGUGAAGCUAUUCACUCGUUCAUUAACCUCAUUUACUUGUUCAUUAAUCUCAUGGCUUACCCGAAGGCUCGCCUACAGCUCACUAGCCAUCUCGACACGUAGGGAGAAUUAACUCACACUACGGACCCGAGACCGUCUGGCGGGGCCAUAUAGGCAAUCCCUGGCGUGACCAACAUCCGGAGCGCACUACUUGUGUGGGGCUUCCAUCACAAGAUUUAACAGACCGUGAGCAUGAUCCAAUCCUCUAAGCUCGAGGAUACCCUGUCCUCUAGAGUCACAAUCAUCAUAUAGUCCAUAGGUGUCGCAUACACUAUUAACUAGAUUGUCCGUUUGUCCGCUAUCGACUAGAUGCCACUCGUUCAUAGUUUACUAUUAACUAGAUGCCACUCGUUCAUAGUUCAUCAUUUUCUCUACAUCAUAGGAUUCACAAUCUCGACCCAAUCCUUAUCAAUCCAAUAUAUCAAUUAUCCGAUGUACGCUACGAUACCAUGAAGGAAAAACAUAAGGAAAGGCAAUGCAUACUAAUCCUAUAAUGCAAUAAUACAAGAUGCAAGAUCAAAUAUACUAAGACAUAGGAGGGAGCCCGAUUGCUUCGGGAUGGACACCACCCACCUCUUGGCGAUGCCGUGAUAGUAGAAAACUCGACGUUGGGGUUCUUGUACGCCGCUUCAACUCCUCGGGGCGAAGCGAGCCCUCGAGUACCCGAUUCGGCGAUUUCUCCGCACCCGCUCGUCGGAUCGAGAAACCGACUUCGCCGACGCGUUCCGGGACCUAGCAAUUAGGUUUGCGACCUAUUAGAUUAGAUCAAAACCCUAGAUUUACCAAAAACCCAAUUCCGUGCCCUAGGAUGGCAACGGGGAAGAAAUCCGUGGUGCGAGCUUCAAUUGCGAGCUCGAACCUUCUCCCUAGUUCCAUUAGGUCCCAUUCAAACCAUAAAAACCCCAAAACCCUAGAAACACCAUUAAAGGGUUUAGAGCUUACCCCUACACAAGGUUCCUUCAAGCUUGAGGGAGAGGGAGAGAAGAAGAUAUCUUCUUCUUCUUCUUCUUCUUAGUCUUCUCUUUCUCUUUCUUCUUCUUUCUCUUCUUCUUCUCCUUCCUCUUCUUCUUCUCCUUCUUCUCUUUCUUUUCUUUUCUUUCUUAGAGAGAGAGAGAAAAGAGGGUAAGAGAGAGAGAGAAAGCAGCUGAGAGUGAGAGAGAGGGGUCCCCCACCUCUAAUAAAGGCCAUUUUGCAUAAAAGCCCCUCAACUUUCACCCUAGUGCACUACCCUCACUGGGCAGUUUUCGCGCGGAGGGACCGGUCUCCCCGACUUGGGACCGGUCCCCGAAGGCUGCCAUUUCGAGCAGAGGGAUUUUCGCGUUCGGGAACCGGUCCUUGCCUGAGAGACCGGUCCCCGGGAGACCGGUCCUUGUCCGAGAGACCGGUUCCCGAGAGCUGCAUUCUCGGGACUUAGCCAAAUUUGGCUAAGUCUCGCCAGGCCAACGUUCGGGAACCGGUCCCUGCCAAUCAGGGACCGGUCUCAUCAGAGACCUCCGCAACCCAGCCUGAUGGAACCGGUCCCUCCCUGCUAGGGACCGGUCCCCGAGAGCAUUUCUGCUCCAGUGCAGAUUUUGCACUGGUGCUCCCGCGGACCCUUCUUUAAUGCACUUUAUGCAUUAUAAUCGCCUUCGGACUUUCCGAAGCCUACACCCUCGACGAAUAGUCGAUUCUAAUCGAGGUCUAAUCCUCGAGUUUCGAGAAUUCACUUCCUUACACUUUUAGCCCUCAAAUUAACUAUGACAUCCUUGACACUUUAGUUCUCGAACUCAUAGUUAGUUAAUUCCUGAACUAUUCACGAAUUAUUCGCAAAUUAUUGAAAAUCCGAAUAAAACGAUUUGUAUGCGAUUUAUUCCCCAAAAUUCAAAAUAAAAUGCGAAUUUUUGUGUUAGAUUUAUUAUUUGCGAAUAAAUCGCGUAUGCCGAACUAUUCGGCCAAAAAAAGCGCAAAAUCUCUUUCCGAAUUUUGCCGAAUUAUUUGCGAAUUAUUAAAAGACUUCAUAAACUUCUAGAAUAUGUGGAUCAUGAAAAAGAUAAAGAUGGAGAUGACAAUAAAAUUUGCUAUUAUUUUUUUUUUCACUUAAUCUACUUUAUUUUGUUAAUCUCUAUUUUUAUAUUCUUAAGAAUUUAUAACUAUAUAUGCUAGUAGCAUAAAUUUAGAGAAAAAAACUUAAUUUAAUAGCCGAAUUUUUGAUCCCGAAUUUUUAAUUGGUGAACGUAUAAUUUCAUAUAAAUUGCAUAUUCGAAUAAUUGGCGAAUUCGUUUUUUAAGCAAUAUUUUUCAAAGAAUUUAGAGAUUGAAGAAAUAUGAAUUUUGUUUAAACUAUAUCCAUAUCGAAUUUUUGCCGUGUAAGGACUGAGAAUUUGGCAGUGCAAUUAGACUCUUUGUUGACGAUGUUUUUGUGUGUAAUUUAAUUACAUAAGCACUCGUCAAGUUUCAGGAGAAAAUGAGUUAGAAUGGAGAAGUUACGCGACCUUUACUAAUCACUUAAAGUGAAUAGUAACUUCGAUUUUCGAAAAGGCCUGGGGCCUUGGACAACCAGUCCAGAGGUCACCCGCUGCCCGCACACGCUACCCACAGCAACCACGAAACGUAAAUUUGCACAUAAGCCCUUGCAACUAUAUAAAAUCACAUCAUUUUAUGUGAUUUUCAGAUUUUUACGGCCCGACAGUAAACCGAGGACAUUCGAGCCUGGCCGAGACACCUACUGAUAGGUCUCGACAUGCCGGAGGCCGUGCUCAUGAUUCGGAGCAUGGCCGACCACUUUGGAGAGCGCGGGAGCGACUCGAAGUUCAGCGAACACUGCACGCUGAAACUAAAACACGUCCAAUUCCCCAAUCUCGGGCUCGUUUGUGAGGACUAAGAUUUGUGCUAUGCAGAUAAACCCUUCGUUGAUGAUAUUUUUGUGUGUAAUUUAAUUACAUAAGCACUCGUCAAGUUUCUGAAGAAAACGAGUUAGGAUGGAGAAGUUAUGCGACAUGUACUAAUUACUUAAAGUGCAUAGUAACUCCGAUUUUUCGGAGAGGCCAAUUAGUAGAGAUGGCUUUUGAUGCGUAUUGGCACUACAAGAAUAUUAUAUAUUAGUGGCGAGUAAUGUCGCCACCAUAUAUAUAUAAGUUGCCACCUUUUUAAAAGGUGGCGAUUUUUAAAGUCGCCACAAGCUGCCACCGAAAGUGUUGCCGCUAAAUGAAAUUGUGGCGACGCAUGAAAAAUCGCCACCUUUUUUAAAAUAGCGUGGCGACAUUUUAUCGCCACGAAAUAUGACUUUUAGUGGCCAUUGCUAGCCGCCACCUUAUUAAANCCACCUUAUUAAAGAUAGAGUGGCGACAUAUUGUCGCCAUCAAAUAUGACUUUUUAGUGGCCCUUCUUAGUCGUCAUUUUUUAUGGAGAUAAGAUGGCAAUACAUUUUCGCCACCAAAUAUUACCUUAAGUGGCAACCAUCACAGUCGCCACCUUAAUUAAAAAUAAAAAUGCAACUUUUUGUCGCCACCAACUGUGCAAUAAAUGACCACCAAUAAUAAAAAGGUAAUAAACUAAAUAUAAAAAUAUACAGCUCAUAUUUUAUAAACAGAACAUAUACAAAAUAACAAACAAAAUAUUAAAGUAAACAAAGUUAUUAUUUUAACAACAAUUUAAAAGGCUAAUUGACUUCUAAUUCACAACAGCUUAAAAACAAAAUAAUAGCAAAGUCAAUUUAAAGGUAAUAGAGUAAUAAUAUUCGAUAUACAAUUCAACAUCAUUCCUAACUCUCUCAACUUUAAAAAUAGAAAAUAUUUAAAAACGAUAAAAAAAAAAUGCUUCAGCUCCUAUUUCAACAGCAAUUCAUUUCCUGCAACAAAUAAAAGAAAUAAAAGAAAAGUAUAUACAUUAAACAAUCUACAACAAGUUAGAAUAUUUUUUGCAUAGUUGGAUACACAAACAAUUUGUCUUUUUGAAUUUUUGAUUUAAUGAAUUAUUAACAAAAUAGACAAUUGUCAAAACUAUGUACAUGCAUGUUCUACUCUCAUUAAGGGAAAAAAAAAAAACAGACAUGGAAGAGAAGUAGAAAAAGGGGGAAUAGAUCAUAGGUGCCAGCAAAUCAAUUUAGCAACAGUUCAUGUUGUUAUCAUGCCCAAAUUCAACAUAAACAAGUAUUAUGCCAAUUCGAUCAUUAUUAGAUAAUGUGUGCUUGUCUCUCUGCAUUUAAAUACAUAUGCAUACAAACAUAAAUAAAUACGGCCAUUACACAUAACCACCAAUUUACACACAUGCAUUGAUGCAAAAAUGCGCAUGGAUUAAAGGCAUGCACAGAAACAAGCAUGCUUCUACGAAUAUGUUCCCGUGGAGAACUAGAUCGUAUAUUAGAACAUAUAUUAUAUCUGUCAUGUGACAUUCAUGCAUUAAGAAAAAAUUUACAAAGCAUACAAAGAGAAUCCACAAUAAAAUUGGCAUGGCAGAACAAUUCUCCAAGCUAGUAAGACAAACACGGUUAAGGCAUACAUGAGUAGGAAAUUCCCGACCAAGAAGUAUGUGUACAAUACAGAAUGAGUAGUACAUUCAAAACUGGAAAGUAUAAAAAAAAUAUUGAAAAUCAUCAAAAACAAAGAAGGUCAAAAUUGCAUUUUUCAAUGUCCCAUUAGAAUUGCAGCAACAAAUCAUACCUAUCAAUCACAUCUUUUGUGCAAGAACAGUUAGAUUGUUCUUCUGGUUGACGGGUUGGCCGCGGAUUUGCACUGUAGGCGGCCUAGCAUUACCCAUGGCCGGUUGGCUCGCCAUCCUGAAAUUAGCAUCAGGUAGUUUUGGACAGUUAAUAGUGGAACAAAUUAUUAGCAUAUUGAUUUGGCAAAAAACAAGGGGUACAAUGUAUGGAUUGCUCCUCUAGUAUCUCGAUAUAGCAAUUUGUACCCUGAACUUCAACAUAUAUCAUUCAAGUCCUGACCGCAUGAAAAUCUAAUUUUUCUUAUUUCCCCUUAUAGACACUAUAUUAUCCCAUUUCCUAUAUAAUGACGACUAACUUAUUUUAGUUUACUUUAAACAGGGUCAAAAGGUCAGCUUAUGAAAUGACUAUGCACAAAUUUAUUUUAGUUCAAGGACUCUAUGAGAAGUCCAAAUGCUGGAAUACUACAUGUGGAUUCAUCUCCAAAUAUAGGUCAGUUGGAAGUGGGUCCCUGAACUACUCAUUUCUUCAAUUUGAACCCCUCAACUAGCGUAUUCCUUGAAACCAGAAUAACUCCAUAGAACUAAUUAAAGGACUCUGAACCAUUCUAGACAGAACUUUCGGAAACUUAAUAAAAUAUUCCAUGACCUAACCAAAUAAUCUGAAACUACUUCAAAGGGAAGUGUUAAAUUCUGAAGGUCUUCGAGGAUUUUCUCAAAUCUAACAAUGAGUUAGCUAGGCAAUUCACACCCCAAGAUUAACAAUCUAUAGUUCAAGAAUACAUCUUUGUGUAACAAUUAUGGGUAAAGUGCUCCACUACUCCCCGAACAUUCAGCCAAGUUUCAUUUUGUCCUUGCACUUUCAAUUUUGACGUUAGGGUUCCCUAAACUCUUCAAAGAGUUUCACUUUUAAUCCUCACACAUAUUUACUAUUGGAGGAUAAAUUGUUGCCUACACCCAGUGCAUUUGUACAUCUAUGCACCAUACAUUUAUUAAUUACUUUUUCCAUCGCAUAUUUCAACCCUACCAUCCACUGAUUUAUAAUUUUUCUCUAUAUAAGAAUUGGACCUCUGGAAUGAAAGUAUGAAUGGAUGAAAAACCAAUGAAUUCAUGGUGAACAAACAAAUAGAUGAACUAAGUGCUAGCGAUAAUUACUCUAAGGAUAAAUGAAACAUUGUUCAGAGUUUAGGGACUAAAUUGAAACCUCACCAACAGUUUAGGGUCUUGAAAGUCGAAAUCAAAAGUUUUGAGGACCAAAAUGAAAGUUAACUCAAAAGUUCAAGAACAGGUAAUUCAAUUUACCCUUAUAAUUAUUACACAAAUCAGGUAUUUCAGCUAGUAACUUAAUAGUGCAGCUAAACAUAGGAAUAAUUUCUACAAAAUAAAACUUGCUUAGCCGGUGCACCUAUAUAUUCUUGAUAGCAGCUGUCAUGGCCAUGAAGGCCUGUUCAACAUUAGUGGCAUUUUUUGCACUAGUCUCCAUGAAUGGAAUGCCAAUUUCAUCAGCAAAUGCCUGAAGGGGACAAAAUAAUUAAAUAAACAUCAAAAUUAAUACUCCUAACAAAGAAAAGAGAAGUAGAGACACCCUAAAUAGCAUAUAUCUCAUGCAUAAUACAAAAUCCUUUUGCAUCGCUUUCUACCAAAAUCUAAUUAAAACUAGCAGAAAAUUGAGAAUUGAACAGGCCAGCAAUGACAUUAACUGUUAAAUAUACGAAUGAAAAGCAAUUAGUUGAUUAAGAGUAGAUUUUGAUUAAGUCAAGAUAUUUCAAUAAGACCUUUCAAGAGGGAAAUUUAAAAACUAUGAAACUCUAAUUGUAGGCGGAUAAAAUGGAUUUCUAAUCAAGUUAUUUUUUCAUUUUUGCAGUUGGAGGUGGUUUCACUUUUUUAACUGAAAUACCCAAGUCUCAUUAUAUCUACAUUAGUAACUUAUAACAAGGAUUCUUGACCUUUUUGAUGUUAACGAUGUGUAGAGCAGAAAAAGGAUGAGGGAAGAAAUUGAAAUUACCUUAGCCGUCUCAUAAGACACAACUUUGUUUGUUGUAAGAUCACACUUGUUACCCACAAGAAGCUUGUUGACAUUCUCACUUGCAUAACGGUCGAUCUCAUUUAACCAUUGCUUUACAUUAUUGAAACUCUCUUGGUCUGUCACAUCAUACACAACCUGCAAUUCCAGGAUCAAUACCAUGAAAUGUUUCGUGGGGAUUCUUGAUCAGUAGGCAUAUGAUUAAAAAAGAGAUAAUGUACACAUACACCCAUGAAAAAAUCUGAAUACUUGUAUUUUCUUCAAAACUUGAUUUCUUAGAUAUAUAUUCCUUCUCUUAAAAAAGUGUACCUCUCGACUGAAAAAUGAGGUUGAGAAAUAGACUUUCAUUAAACAUGCUUAAAAGCAUUUUUUAUACCAGCCUAGCUUCUAUAUAUAUAUAUAUAUAUUAUAUAUAUUAUAUAUAUAUAUAUAUAUAUAUAUAUAAAUGGUACACGGAGGCCUCCGUGCUAUCGAUAGAUAUACAGCCUAAGCUCUAUCCUGAGCAUGGAAGCUGCAUUGUUCCUUACACACCAGCCUUGAGUAGAGGUGACAACAGAUCAAAUAAUGCUCAAUACACUUCUACAAGGCAUAGAUAUAUUAAACGGACACCACAAUUCAAUACCAUCAAUCUAAAUAUAGAUACAGAUAUAAAUGUGCAACAAAAUGCAUAUUAAAUGGUUAGGGUAUGAAUAUGAUAUGAAUUAAACACUAAACGAAUGCAGCUACAACUUGGAUAUGAAAAGGAACAUGAAUACAAAUCAAACCAGUAACUCAAUUAUAUAUCUAUAUAUAUAUAUAUAUAUAUAUAUAUAUAUAUAUAAAAGAGUUGCCAUAAGAUUUCGUAAUACUUUGGUGCAGCAUGUGAGAACAAAGAAGUACUAAUACUAUGAAACUAUAAUCAUAUCAAACAACUCAAGCUCAAUUAUGUAGAGCAGAUAUAGAAAUAAACAACAAUGUACAAAGAGACAAACAGUUGUAUACCUGAAAACUCCGCCUGUGCUCCUCGAGGAUGAUCCGGAGGAGCGAUGCGAGCCGCAAGACCAUUUUGCGGCGCCCGAGGAUGAGCGAAACGUUGAGGAACCUUACGAGGAGACGGAGCUGCUUGUGCGUGAGGGCGACCUCGGAGGCGGUGGCGGCGGCGGCGGAGGGGGCGUCGCGGAGGUACUCGCGGUCGAGGACGGCCUCGUAGAAGACGAAGGCCUCGGCGAGGUAGGAGGAGUCGCUGGUGCGGCGGUACUAGCCGUAGUAGAGCUGGGCGAUGCGGUACGCGAUCUCGCCCACCUCCCACCGCCGUAUCCCGGCCUCGGUGAGCGCCGCGCGGUGCUCCUGCUGCAUCUUCCACAGCCGCGUGUAGAUCUUGAACGCCUUGUGGGGAAGUCCCCAUCGUCCCUGAAUCGAAGAACAAGAAGAAGAAAAAGAAGAGGGAUCGAAUUAGGGUUCGGGGUGAGAGGUUUGGGGGAGGUAGGGGGUUAGGGUUUACCGAUUGCGGUCGUGGGAGGGGCGAUCGCGGACGCGGGAGAAGCGGCGAUCGGCCUUGCCGACGAGGGACCGGAACUGCUCGGUGAUGGGGAUGGCGCUGUUGUUGCUCUGCGCCAUGGACGAGGAGAGGGUGGGGAGGACGAGAGAGAGGAGGAGGAGGAGGAGGAGGAGGAUGCUAGGGUUUUUGGGUGGAGAAGGGGAAAAAAGGAAAAGAGUUGGGAGGGUGAAGAAGAAGAGGAAGAGGAAGACGAAGAUGAGGAGGAGGAGGUCGACGAGCGUGAAAGGCAUCGGGUUUCGGAUUUCGGGUAUCGGGUUUCGGGUUUCGGGUUUGAAGAAUUUGUUUAACCGCAAUGGCAUCGAUUUCGAUUGGGUUUAAUUUAAUUUAAUUAACUAAUAAUUUAAUUUAAUUUUUAAAUUUAAUAAGUUAAUUUUUAAAAUUUAAAAUUUAAAAUUUAAUUUAAUUAAUAAUUUGUAAUUUAUUUAUUUAUUUAUUUAUUUAUUUAAGUUAAAUUUAAUUAAUUUUUAAAAAAUAAAUGACAAUAAUUAAUAGGUAAACACUAAUUAAUAAAGCUCUUGAAUUUAAAAAUUCAACUAAAUUAACUAGAAUAAAAUAAUCAAAAGAAGUUCAGAGGUGUUAAUCAAAAUAAAAUUAAAAUUCAUAAAGCAAUUUCAAAAUGAUCUGAUGUUGAAAGUGUCUCUAUACAUUUUCACCCUCAAUUUUUAACAACUAUAGUUUUUUCACCUUCACUAUACAUUAUUUUGAUAUAAACGUUUUAAAUAUUUUAUUUUUAUUGUAAUUUUAUUAAUAAUAUGCGUCAAUUUUUUUUAUCAUCACUAUAGCUAACCAAAUAGUGGCAAAAAAUUAGUCAUUCAGUGGCGAAAGUAGUAUUGCCACUUAAAGUUAAUUAAUUGGUGGCUAAAUUUUUUUAUCGCCACUUAAAGUUAAUUAAUUGGUGGCAAAAUUUUUUUAUCGCCACUAUAGGUAACCAAACAAUGGCGAUAAAAUAAUCAUUUAGUGGCGAAAGUAAUAUUGCCACUUUAAAUUAAUUAAUCAGUGGCAAUAUUUUUUAUCGCCAUCAUAAAUAACAAUUUAGUGGCAACAAAAUAAUUAUUUAAUGGCGAAAGUAGUGUCACCACUUUAAGUUAAUUAAUCGGUGGCCAUUUGUUUUAUCGCCACCAUAGAUAACCAAAUAGUGGCGAUAAAAUAAUCAUUCAAUGGCGAAAGUAGCAUUGCCACUUUUAGUUAACUAAUCAGUGGCAAUUUUUUUUAUUGCCACAAUAAGUAACUAUAUAGUGGUGACAAAAUUUAUCGCCACAUUAUUUUUGCCACCAAUACUGUCGUUUCUUGUAGUGUGGACUCCGUUCAUAGUGAUCCAAUAGCUCGUUCUCGACGGUUCGACUAUCCUGGACCCAAAAAAUUGACGGAAUUAGAUUUUGAGGCACGAUUUUCGAGAAAAAGGGGGUUUAUUGGAUUUACAUAUAUAUAUAUAUGUGUGUGUGUGGGGGGGGGGGGGGGGGGGGGGGGUUUGGAAAAUUGGAGAGCGGAUGAGUUUCGUCGCAAAUCUACGACCAAAGCUGAUGAAACAAAAUUGUAGAUUUGAUGCCCCAGUCGUACUGAACGCGCUUGCGUGAUCCGAUCGGAAAUCCGAUGGACGGAUCUCCGGGAAUCGCGAGAUGUUCGCUGAGGGGUCGAAAUUGGCAAAACGAAAAAUCUGCGAAAAGCCAAAUAUUUUAUGUACCGUUUUGCGUGAUUUCGAACAUCAAGGUGCUUGUGCGCAAAAUACACGUGCCAGCAGGGACUCAGCUGAAAAUAAUUAGGUAUGGGGUUUUAUCUGCAAAAGUGCACAUGGUAUAUUAGUGGCAGCUAGGGUUUCUAUGCAUGAAACCCUAGAUCUAGCCGACCCAGCUCCCCAGCUAUGCCAUAGUCAACAUCAGCAAGUCCCUGCCCUUGCUGUGCGCGCACCCUAGCCGUCGGUGAGCGUCCCCGGCCGCCGGAAAAGCUUGGUCGGCCUCUCCUCCAUCAUCUUCUCUACCUAACCGCCACCCUUCUCGACUUUUUAUCUCGAGAAGUCGCCCACACGUGUCGGGCCUCCAUCCCUAGGCCGAGACCGACCUCCGGCACCGUUCCCGCCGGUCCCCCUCCAUCCGCGCGCGCUGCCAGUGUCUCUUGGGAGAUCCGCGGCCACCCGCAGUGUAACAUACCGAAACUCGGUAGAGAAUAUCGAACUUUGGUCAAAUUGACUAAAGUGUGCGAAAGGAAUAGUUGGACAAAGUCCAUUUAUCAUUCCAACAAUGUUGGAAUGGUUAAAGUUGAGUUCCAAGGGAGUUGGAAAGGUUUUAGCGUUGCUCAGCGCGAAUUAGAAUCGAAACAAUGCGAGAUUGAGGUUCGGGAGCAUUUGGGUGUUUCGGUGCGCGUUGGACGCGAAAACGGAACCCGAAAGGCCAUGUUGGACCAUGGAUGUGAGGAAAUGAAUUCUCGAAAUACGAGGAUUAGACUUCAUGCAGAACCAACCAAGGGUCGUGUUGGUGAGCUUUGGAGAAGCCAAAGAUAUUAAAAUCACCAAAAGUGCAUUGAAAACGAGUCCACGAGAGCAAUUGGUGCAAAAUCUGCACUGGAGCAAAACUGCUCUCGGGGACCGGUCCCUAGCAGGGAGGGACCGGUCCCAUCGGCGGAUGUUGCGGGGUUGCGUGAGGCAACCGGUCCCUGGCAGGGAGGGACCGGUUCCCGAACGUGAUCCGAGCGAGAAAGCCAGAAAUUUGGCUAAGUCCUGAAAAUAUUGCUCUCGGGGACCGGUCUCACAGGCAAGGACCGGUCUCCCGAGGACCGGUCUCUCUGGGAGAGACCGGUACCCGAACGCGUGACCCUAGCUGAAGCUCUCGGGGACCGGUCCCAAGUCGGGGAGACCGGUCCCUCCGCGCGCAGACAGCCCAGUGAGGGCAGUGUACAGAGAUGAAAGGUGAGGGGCUUUUAUGCAAAAUGGCCUUAGUUAGAGGGGUAUACAUGGGAGAUCACUCUCUCCCUCUCUCAGUUCACUCUCUCUCUCUCCCUCUCACACUCUCUUGCUCUCUCUCUCUCUAGAAAGAAAAGAGAAGAAGAAGAAGAAGAGGAAAAGAGAAGGAAAAGAAGGAAGAAAAGGAAGGAGAAGAAGAAGGAGAUCAACAAAGGGAAGCUUUUGGACCUCUCCUUCAUCCUCUCUUCUCUCUUUGAAGCUACAACAAGAGGUAGGCUUCUAACCCUAGCUAUGAAAUUUGGGGUUUUUAGGUUUUAGCUCUUUGGAUGGGAUCAAAUGGAUCUCUAGUACCAUGAAUAGAGGGAUUAGAGCUAAAAUCUACGGUUUUGAGAUGGGUUUAGCUUGAUGCUAACCCUAGGGCACCAAAAUAGGGUUUUUGGUAAAGUAUGAGAUUGAUCUCAUUUGAGGCCUUGUAAACCCAAUUGCUAGGUAACGAAGCGCGGGGGCGAAGUCGGAAUUUCGAUUCGCCGAGUGGGUCAAGAGCUAUCGGCAAAAUAAGCCGAUUGGGAAUCAUUUGGACCAAGAAAAUCGAGGCUUCGUCGUAAAGAACGCCGAAGCGCAUUUUUAGAGCCUCCGUAUACACAGAAGGUGGGGGGUGUCAUCCCGAAACAUCCGGGUUUCUUUUUAUGUCUAAGUUAAUUAUAUUGAUCAUAUUGUGCUAUAGGAAUAGUAAUUGUACAUUUCCAUUUCCUUGCAUGCUUUCUCGGUAGUGUAGCGGGGUGAGCUUGACACGUGGACUAGGAUAGCAUGAGGAUUGGGUCUUGUGACAUAGAAUCCUAUAGCGGCAUAAAGAGCCGAACUUAGACAUAUGAUAGCCUAGUAGAGUGGCAUUGAACUAGUGUAGUAGAAACACUAAAUUGAAACGAGUGGCAUGUCAACUAGUAGAAAACUUACUACAAUGACCGAACGAGUGGCAUCGAGUCUAGUGUAGUAAACUUGACGUGAACUUAGGGAUAGUUGAGAUCCCGGCAUCUAGGAUGCAUUGUAUAUUGUGCAGCAGAGGCACAUUGACCCUAGUAGACAGGGUAUCCUCUUGUGAGGAUUGGAUCAUACUCACUAGUCUGUUUUUGCUUGUCGGUGGUCGCUCCACCGAGGCACGAGUCUCCGGAGUACUUCACUAGGGGCAGACGUAGUUGUCCCGCAGACGGUCUCGGUGUGCGAGUGCAGUUUCUCCUCACCUAUGAGAUUGAGAGUGAGUCGAGGGUUUAACCUACGGGUUAACCAAGUAGAUUGGGUAAUAAACAUGAAAUGCAUAGUAGACUUGCAUUAUUACCUUGAGUAGACAUAGUGUAUGUGGUAGUUUACAUUACUAUGCACCUUUAUAUACUCAUGACAUGACAUUAGCAUGAUAGUAAUUGUUGCAUGCAUUAUUAUCAUUGAUGGCAUGAUAGAGUAGUUGCAGUUCAUUUUCUAUCUAUCUAUAUAUCUCUCUAUCUGUGCCAGCUUAGACCUAGUGGGAAAACCGGCGGCGUCGGCGGCCGAACCCACUGGGAACUAUAUUUAUAUAGUUCUCACCCCGUGUGGUUUUGGGGUACAGGUACGCACAGAGGCCAGUCAAGCGAGGACCGCGGCAAGGGCAUAGCGCCCUAAGUGAGUUUAGCUAGUAGCUUUUUCUUUAUGCAUUAGAGUACCCUCGUGUACUAGAUGAUGUUUUGGAUAGUUAUUAAAGAGCUACUUGUAUUUUGAGGAAAACCUGUAUUUACAUUUUGGAAGAUGGAAAUGUAAAAUAUUCAAAUGAUGUAAAUGUUGAAUGGUUGUAAUAGUUAGACUAUCUCUCUUUAUACACUUGUAUCUACUUGUGGUUCUUGCUCUUAGAUGUAUUGCACUUGUGCAUCGUGUUGAUCAUGUAUGUUAUUUAAGCAUUCCCUGGGCGCUUACUUGUACAUGAUCUGGGUGUUUAGCCUUGGGCGGGCAGGAGAGGUGCUGUCCGUUCGGCGGUCCGUCCGGCGCGCCCGAACUGUGCCAAAUUGGUAGUGGAUUCAGGGCGGGGCGUGACAGUGUUGGUAUCAGAGAGAUUAAGAGCAAGUAAAGAGAGAGUCUAGGAUGGACCUAAGAGACCUUAGGACGGUGAACCCUAGGAUUGUGUAGGUACGUGAGAGAAACGUGAACCUAUGUCGGUUGAGGAAGAAUCCGAUUAGGUCGGAUCGAGUAUAGAUCUCUAGUGUGGCUAGAGAUAGAUCCGAGCGGUGUUAGUUCCGAGCUCGAGGAGUUUUUGUUGGCGGCCGACAACACGACGCUAAGAGUUCGAACUAAUACACUUAUGUACUUCCGCUUAUAGCGGAGCUGAGUCGCGUAAUAUAGUGUAUGCGAUGGAGUUAAGUGGGUUAAUGGCUAACCCAAUUGUUGCGUUGCAGGAGAUAAUGUCCCCAAGACGCUACGUACGUAGGUCCGUUCCGGCACCAUCUCCUGAUGUGCCCGAGGAAGCCGGAUCUAGUGAGGUACAAGAGUUGCGUGCGCAGGUGUCGGCACUAACCGGCAUUGUGCAGCGCCAAGAAAGUCGAUUCGAGCAGCUCCAAGGGCUUAUGGAGCGGCAUUUUGCGGCGGCAACUGCAGCUGCGACUGAGGGUCGUGAUCCGCCCCCGCCUCCAGCUCGUGCGCCUACGGCGGCUGAGGGUGAGGGCAUUGCGGCAGUUCCGGUGGCGGCACGUCCUCCGCCGGCGAGCGUUCCUCCGGCGGCGUCGGGUUCUACGACACCCGAUGCGACGUCAUUGGAGGCGGAGAGGGAGCGCGCACUUGCGGCUCUCGAGAAGUUCCGAAGGUUUAAUCCACCGACCUUCGAGGGGGAGAAGGUCGAGCCAUGGAUGGUUGAGUCGUGGGUGGACUCAAUGGAGACCUUGUUCGAGGACCUCUACACCUUGGAGAGGGACAAGGUCUACCUCGCCACUCACUGUUUGGAACGAACGGCGAAGGUUUGGUGGAAGCGAAUCAAGAGGAACCGAGCUUCCGACCUUCCGCCGUUGACGUGGGAGGAGUUUCGGGGGUUGUUCUAUGUCAACUAUUUCCCCGAUAGUGAGAAGAAGAAGCUUCAAGAGCAGUUUCGAAAGCUGAAGCAAGGUAGCCGCACGGUGGCGGAAUAUGAGCGGGAGUUCUCUCAUAUCAUUGACUGCGUCCCUGACGUAGUGCGGGAUGACAAAGAUCGAGCCGAUUGGUUCGAGCGAGGGCUCCGGGCUGAUAUCUACCGGGCGGUGCACAUUUUGAAGCUCACUACCUUCGCGGAGGUGCUCGACAGAGCGUUGUGGGCGGAGCAAGAAAACGCUCACAUCCGGAAGGAGCGAGAAGCGUUCGAGAAUGACGGUGGUAAGAAGCGGGGCCAAAGUAGUUCGGGAGCUCAAGCCAAGUCAAGGAAGCCCCCGAAGUACCCGCGAACGCAAUCCAAGGGCCGCGGACCGCAGUGGUGCACAAUCUGUGGUGGGAACCACGAGCCUAGGACGUGUGAUCAACGGGAAGGGAAGUGCUUCACGUGUGGACAGGCGGGCCAUAUCAGCCGCCACUGUCCAAUGAGGGCUUCGCCUGCCCCUUCGGUCGCGUCGGCUCCGACGACUCCGGCGCACUAUGGAGGAGUCCCACCUGCUGUGUCAUCGGCUGGACGUGCGAUGGUGCCACGCCAACCUGAGGCGACGAGAUCGGCUCCGAGCCGGCGGGUGUUCGCCGCCCAAACUCAAGCCGAGGAACCUGCUGAGGCGGAGGAUCGCCAUGUUCUCGCAGGUAUGGUUUUAAUUAACGGAGUUCGCUCCAGGGCUAUGUUUGAUACAGGUGCUACACAUUCAUUCAUUAGUAGGUCAUUUGCACGCAUGCAUGACAUAGAACUACAAGAGAGUAAAAGCACUUGGAGGGUAUCGGGCCCCGGACGUGAUUUUAUAGUCCGUAUGGAGUGUUCGUCUUGUCCAGUGCGGUUGGGCGAUUGGAUAAUGCCUAUCCGUAUGUUGGUGUUCAAGAAGUUAAAAGACUUCGACGUCAUUCUAGGGAUGGAUUGGCUCUCGAAGUACUAUGCAACUAUUCACUGCAGAAGUAAAGUGAUUACGUUUCGCGAACCGGGCCAAGAGGAGUUCACCUACCGGGACUGUAGAAGCUCGCGCUUCGCUGCUAUGGUGUCGGCGACGAGGGCGAGGAAGUUGAUUAACAGCGGUUGUACGGCCUACUUGGCGACCGUUGUAGAGGCCGAGAGGACGACUCCGGCACUCGAGGAACUAUCUGUGGUCCGAGAGUUUCCUGAUGUGUUUCCCGCGGAGUUACCGGGGAUGCCACCAGACCGGAAGAUCGAGUUCGUGAUAGACUUGGUUCCAGGAACCGCGCCUAUCUCGAAGGCUCUGUAUCGGAUGGCGCCGGAGGAAUUGAAGGAAUUGCGGGAUCAAUUAUUGGAUCUCCUUGAUAAAGGGUUUAUACGGCCAAGUGUAUCGCCGUGGGGAGCCCCGGUCCUAUUUGUGCGAAAGAAGGACGGAUCCUUUUGACUCUGCGUAGACUAUCGCGAGUUGAAUAAAGUUACGAUCAAGAAUAAGUACCCGUUGCCGAGGAUUGACGAUCUGUUUGAUCAGUUGCAAGGGUCUCGGGUUUAUUCAAAGAUUGAUCUACAAUCCGGUUAUCAUCAACUCAAGAUUAAGCCGGAAGAUGUGCAAAAGACCGCGUUUCGCACGCGGUAUGGACACUAUGAAUUCACGGUCAUGCCGUUUGGGCUUACUAAUGCCCCGGCAGCGUUCAUGGACCUAAUGAACCGUGUCUUCAAGGAGUACUUGGACCGAUUUGUCGUGGUCUUCAUAGACGACAUCUUAGUCUAUUCUCGUAGCGACGAGGAACAUGCCGAGCAUUUGAGAAUCGUGCUUCAAGUCCUUCGGGAGGAGAAGCUAUAUGCUAAGUUUAAGAAAUGCGACUUUUGGCUCCGAGAGGUUGCAUUUCUUGGGCAUCGUAUCUCCGAGGUCGGAGUAUGCUGUCGCAGCCCAAAAAGGUGAGGCUAUCAAGGAUUUGGCCUCGGCCCUUGACAACCGCCCAGAAGGUUCGAAAAGAGAGCUUCGUUGUUUAGCGGGUUAUUAUGACGGUUUGUGGAGGGAUUCUCGAAGAUCGUUGGUCGCACUUACUCGCUGACUCGAAAGGCACCAAAGUUCAUUUUGAAAUGACUGAGGGUGCGACCAGUUCAAGAGUUGAAGGAUAGAUUAACUUUCGACUCCCGGUGCUGCUACGCGUGCAAGAUGAAUACUUUGUGGUUAUACGACCGAUCACAAUCGUCUUAGGGUGUGUUGCCUAGAUGCAGGGCGGGAAGGUGAUGCUUAAUGCGUCCGCGUCAGCUAAAGAACUAUGAGAGAGAACACCCUUUCACGGUGGGGAGUGUUAAAAAGCAAGGAGCCUGCUUGGAGAGCACUUAAGUUGCCGCCUAUAGUGUUUGCCUCUUGCAAAGUUGCUGGUGACGGCCAACUGACCGUGUAAGCGCCGAUGCUGGCGGUUGCGAGAUACUACACGCGACCAAGUAAAGUACUGGAAGAGCAGCUGUUUCAUUCAGCAAACAAGAGAAGGAGCUGCACAUGCGGGCAGGAGAGAACGGUGUUGAGAUUGCUAAAGAGACUGUUUUUUGUGGUUGUCACCGGAUCAGUGACGAAUCAUCAUAGUAUGCUGCCAGUGCGCCGGGAUAUAGAGCAAACAUGUGGCCGACGCACUUACAGCAGUCAGGUGAGAAUCUUGCUGAUGUUGGAGUUACUAGCAUCAGGAGCUCUGCGGGAGCAUAGAGAUGGAACGAUUGGUGGAUCUCCGAAGUGGAUAGCUCCGCAGAAAGUCCGAUUCUAUGCUUACGGCUCUCGUUUGUCCGCAACCGGCUUUGUUUGGAGCAGAUCAUGAUUGCAGAGCCUGCGGACGGCCCGAAUAGCGUCAGGCAAAAGAGGUGCGGUGCGAGACAGGAGCAGUGGUGACCACCGGUGAUUUCAGUGUCAGACUGCCCGAGGGUGGCGCUUCGAUUUCGAAACCGAUUGGUGCGUACCGAAAACACUGAUGGAGGUCCGGAUAGUGUGGAUUAUCACCUAUCAAAGAACGCAAAUGCGGACUCUAUAGCAUUUCACCCGGCAGGACCGGAAGAUGUACCCGCGAUCCUGAAAUGCAGGUCUGGUGGCCGGGUAUGAAGGCUGUGUUGUUCGCUAUGUAGCGCAGUCGCUUCAGUGUAUCCAGCAAGUCGAAGCUGAGCGCCGGAUUUCUCAUGCGGGAAAGCUCCAAAGUCUACCUAUUCCCGUUUUGAAAUGGGAGAAUAUCGCUGAUGGACCUUCGUGGGUCGAUUCCCCCGUUCGACGGGUGGCCACUGAGCGAUCUGGUGAACUUGUGAUCGUAUGACUAAGUCGGCCGCACUUCCUACCCGAUUACACCACCUGGUCGGCGACAGGUUAGUCGCAAGGUGUAUCUAAUGAAGUUGUGAGGUUGCACGGGGUUCCAGAAGCGAAUUCGUGUCAGAUCGAGACCCCGCGUUUACCUGUAUCGCACUUUUGGGGAAAAAAGAACGCCUGCAGAAAGCGCUUAGGCACACGGACUCGAUUCACACCGCGUUCAUCCUCAGACAGAUGGAACAGUCGAAAGGACUAUACAAAUUCUGAGGAUAUUUGCGGGCGUGUGUCAUUGACUACAAGGUAUUGGCAGACCAUUUGAUGGAUGGCCGAGUAUCGCCCUACAACAACAAGUUACCAAAGCUAGCAAAUUGGGAUGGCAACCGUCGAUGGUCCUAUAUGGACGGAAGUGCCUCGAUCCUCGACUAAUAUUCAUGGACGUGAUGUGGGUGAGCAUCGCGCAUUGGGCCAGACGUAUUGCGAGAGCGCGGAAGAGAAGGUCCGCGUCUUGCUCGGAGAGCUACUUACACGGCACAGGUGAUGGCAUAAAGAGCUAUUGCUGACAAACACGUAGAGAUUUGUAAUUCGCGUAUAGCGCCCGCGCGUUUUUCUUGACAGUUUUCACCCUAUGAGAGGUGUGAAACCUUCGAGUUGCGGGGAAAGCUAAAGGCCCCCCGAUAUAUCGGCCCUUUCGAAGUGUGGAACGUGUGGGGCGGUAGCAUACACAAAACAAAUAAAGAUCUUCAGUUACCGGCCUGAAGCUCGCGAGAGUGACAUGAUGCUAUUCCACGUUCUAACCUUUGCAAAUCAUGUCCACUGACAUUCCGGAGCCCUGUGAUGUGCAUUACGGAUACCGGCCGGACUACAGGAAAUCUAAGUUAAUAGGAGUUCCCGCGAUGAUCAUUGCUCGGAGAAGUGGCGGAAAUGAGAAGUCGUGAGAUUCCCUAUGUGAAGGUUCGUCGUGACCAAUCACCGUUACGAUCGUGAGACCACGUGGGAAACUCGGAGGAAAAGAGUGAAAGGCCACUAUAACUCAUACCUCUUGUUACCGAAAUGACAAUAAGGUAUGAGUUGAUUAAGCUUAGUGUGGGGAAAAUGUUUCGUUUCGAGCACAGAACUAUCAUUUUGUAGGAGGGGAGAUGUGAGGCAAAGUGACACUUCUCGCCAAUAACAGGAUUAACUCAUGCAAACCGACAAGGUCGUGUUGUGAGCUUUUUGGAGAAGCCAAAGAUAUUAAAAAUCCCAAAUGCAUUGGAAACGAGUCCACUGAAGCAAAUUGUGUGCAAAAUCUGCACGGACAACAAAACUGCUCUCGGGACCGUUCCUGGCAGGGAGGGAUUCGGUCCUAUCGUCGGAUGUUGCGGCGGUUGCGUGAGGCCAACCGGUCCCUGCAGGAGGACCGGUCCCGAACGUGAUCCGACGCGACGAAAGCCGCAAUUUGCUCUACGUCUGAAAAUAUUUGCUCUCGGGGACCUGGUCUCCACGGCAAGGACUGCGGUCUCCCAGGACCGGUCUCUCUGGGAGAGACCCCCGGUAGCCAGCGACAGCGGACUCCGAGCUGAAGAAACUCUCGGGGACCGGUUCCAAGUCGGGAGACCGGUCCCCCCUGCGCCAGCCAGCCCAGUGAGGCAGUGUCACGGAAUAAAAGGUUGAGUGGGCUUUUAGUGCAAAAUGGCCUUAGUUAGAGGGGUUAUCACAUGGAGAGUCACUCUCCUCCCGUCUCUCAGUUCAACUCUCCUCUCUCUCCCUCUCACACUCUCUGUUGCUCUCUCUCGCUCUAGAAAGAAAAAAGAAGAAGAAGAAGCAAGAAGAAAAGGAAGGAAAAGAAGGAAGAAAAGGAAGGAGAAAAGAAGGAGAUCAACAAAGGGAAGCCUUUUGGACCCUCUCCUUCAUCCUCUGCUUCCUACUUUGAAGCUACAACAAGAGGUAGGUCUUCUACCCUAGCUAUGAAAUUUGGGUUUUUGGUGUUAGCUCUUUGGGAUGGGAUCGUAAUGGAUCUCUAGUACCAUGAAAUUUAGGGAUUCAGAGCGCUAAACUCUACGGUUUGAGCCUGGGUUAGUUGAUGCUCACCCUAGGGCACAAAAUAGGAUUUUUGGUAAAGUAUGAGAUUGAUCUCAUUGAGGCCUUGUAAACCAUUGCUAGUAUACGAAGCGCGGCAGGGGGCGAAGUCGGAAUUUCGAAUUCGCCGAGUGGUCAAGAGCUAUCUGGCAAAAUAAGCCGAUUGGUGAAUCAUUUGCACCAAGAAAAUCGAGCGGCUUUCGUCGUCAAAGAAAGCGCCGAUAGAGCAUUUUUUAGGCCUGCGCGUAUAAUCAUGAAGGUAGGGUGUCAUUCCCGAAACAUCCGGAUUUCUGUUUUAGUCUAAGUUAAUUAUAUUGAUCAAUAUUGUCCUAUAGGAAUAGUAAUUUACAUUUCCCUUUCCUUGCAGCCUUUCUCGGUAGGAGCGGUGAAUGCUAUGACACGGGACUAGGAUAGCAUGAGGAUUGGGUUUUGUUACAUAGAAUCUAUAGCGGCAUAAACGAGCCGAACUUGGACAAUAUAUGCCUAGUAUAGUGAUUGAACUAGUGUAUUAGAAACACUAAAUUGAAACGAGUGGCAUGUCAACUAUAGAAAACUUACUACAAUUCCGAAUCGAGUGGCCAUCGAAGUCUAGUGUGUACCACCUUGAGCGUGAACUUUAGGAUAGUGAGAUCCCGGCAUCUAGAUGCAUUGUAUUAUUUGUGCGGCCAGCAGGCCGCACAUUGACCUAAGAGACAGUACCUCUUUUGAGGAUUGGAUCAUACUCACUAUCUGUUUUUUGCUUGUCGGUGGUAACGCUCACCGAGCACCAGUCUGCCGCCGAGUACUUCACUAGGGCCAGACGUAGUUGUCUCCGCAGAUGGGUGCUCGGUGUGCGAGUGCAGUUUCUCCCACCUAUGAGAUUGAGAGUCAGAGUCGAGGGUUUAACCUACGUUAACCAAGUAGAUUUGGGUAAGUUAACAUAGAAAAGUGCAUAGUAGACUUGCCAUUAUUACGCUUGAGUAGAGACAUAGUGUAUGUGUAUUUUACUUACUAUGGGCACCUUUAUAACUCAGUGACAUGACCUUAGCAUGAUUAGUACAUGUUUGCUCAUUAUUAUCUAUUGAUGGCAUGAUAGAUGUAUUGCACCUUGCAUUUCUCUAUCUAUCUAUAUAUGUCUCUAUCUGUGCCAGCUUAGACCUAGGAAAAACCGCCGGCGUCGGCGGCCGAAACACUCCACUGGGAACUAAUAUUUAUAUAGUUCUCACCCCGUGUGUUUGGGUACAGGUACGCACAGAGGCCAGUCAAGCGGAGGAACCGCGGCCAGGCAAUAGCGCCCUAAGUUAGUUUUAGCCUAGUAGCUUUUCCUUUUAUUGCAUGAGUACCCUCGUGUAUCUAUGAUGAUGUUUUGAUAGUAUGUAAAAGCUACUUGAUGUGAGGAAAAUCUGGUAUUUACAUUAUUUGGGGAAGAUAAAUGAAAAUUAAUUCCGAAUGAUCGCUAAAUUGUCUACGGUGUUUAAAAUUUAGAUCUAUCUCUCUAACCACACCUUGUACUACCUUGUGUUCUUGUCUCUUUAGAUGUAGUGCACUUGUGGCAUCGUGUUGAUGAUUUUUAUGUUAUUUCAGCCUAUUCGCCUAGGCGCACCGUUUAACUUGUACAUGGAUCUGGGUGUUUUAGUCCUUGGACGGGCAGAGAGGCUGGUCGUGUCGGUAAGCGGUCGCGUGCCGGUGCGCGCCCGGGGGACUGUGGGCCAAAUUGUAGUGAUUUCGGGGCGGGGCGUCCAGAUGGAUUAAAUCCGGGCAUAAGCGUGAUGAAUAAGAAUGGUUGAGCCACCUGCGAAACAUUCUGCGUAACAUGUUUUGGGGGUCUCGUGCGCAUUGUGGAUGAAUCUUACCCCAAACAGAGCGUGAUAAACAGCUAAAACGGGACAAAGCGGAGAAAUGCUGAAUAAUUGCCGCUGUUAACCGAUGACGGAGACACCAUGUACCGGUACAUAUUGUAAAACACCGAAACAGCAACUCUCGGUUUGCCUUCUAUGGGAGAUCGUGUUUUACCUCGGUGAAAACAAAAGUGUACCGUACAUUUGGCGUCGGCAGCAAAAAUUAGUCUGCUGGCAGAUUAGUGGUUUUUGGGGGGCUUGGUUGCUAUUGUUGCAACCACCUAUAAAAACACGUCCAACCUCCCCCUUUUUGUCUCAGCAGUAACAAACGAAACGCCUUCCUCUCUCGUCCAUUUCUUCUCCCUCUCUUUCUCUAGACAGCUCUCUACAAGCUCAAGAGAGAUGGAGGAGGAGUUAGAAGGUGGAUUUUGAGAUUAGAUGAUCAAGAAGUCUCUCCUACAAAGUGACCUUGGUAGUGCUUUGGGUUAAGGUGAGUUUAUGCAAAACACUUUUAGGUUGGAUUUAACCCACUAAUCAAGUUAACACACUGGAGACUUCGUAAAUUGCGAGGUUCGAGGUGUUUGAUCUGUGUUCUCAAGUUUUUACCUAGUAUUCUGGGUUCGUGACAGUGGCUCCGACCUAUGGCUCGAUAAUACCCGAGAAUUGAUCGUAUUUAAACAUACGGCUAAGGUCACCAAGUGGAGGACCUUAGCUGCUCUCGGGUUGCUUUUGGCAGGAAUUCGGUACCGGUAUAGUUGAUGGAUUACCGGUACACAUGUGGUAAUGGCCAACGGAGCCUGCGGGUUGCGCAUUCGGGGAGUGUUACCGUACACUUUGCGAAGACUGCAAUUGACAGUUUUAAAGGGUGUUUGUUCUACUUGUUGCUCACACCCCGGACACGAUCCCUUUGGCCGAGUCCUGGGACACUCGAACAACGCGAACGGACAGAGCCUCCCCCAUGUCGGGCCACUAACACAUAUUACAAUUCAACAAAAGAAUGCUCACAAGCGGAAACAUACACAAUCGGCUUUAUACUGAGGUAACAAUAGCCGAAGUGAAAGGGAAUACUAAACUAUACAACUUUACAAGCUUAGAAAGAUUAAUCUUUUAACCAUUUACAGCAUUCAAUACCUAUCACAUCUACAUUCAUUUUACAUAUCCAGGUUGCUUUUAUCAUUUCUUUCUUCUUUACAUCACCACACUUUUCAUCAAAAAUGGAAAGCUUUACAUUUCAUUUCUUUACAUUCUAACAUCAAAUUACAAAAAGAUGGAUAUGGGUAAUCAUCUACAAAUAUGGAACCCAACUUGGCGGUCACUGUCAUACGGCGCAGAUACCCUUUAAUCGCGGUGGUCGCCGGCCGCUCGUGUCCCGCUGUGUGUGCGAAAUUUAGUGAGGUGAGAACUACAACGAGAUUCACCAGUGGGUUCGGCGCGCAAUCUCCAGUCCGACUUUGUGCACUAGGUCUAACUGAGGCAUAAUAGAAAAAUACAGCAGAUAGAAGUAACUAGCUAUAAAAUGCAGUAAUAUGACUGACAAAAUAAUUCAAUGAUUUGCUCAAUUGUGAAGUUUUGAGGAGCGCCCUAAGGAUCAAGUCUGAGAUUGAAUCCAACACCUAGAGCAGUGUGAAUAGGUGUAAUACCACAAACCACAAAUCUCAAUGCGAUAAAAUCAAAUGCGAACAUCUAAGAAAUCACACCGAAAUUUACGUGGGAAAACUCCAACUUGGAGAAAACCCAUGCGGACAGACACGCGAAAAAUUAAUUCACUAAGAAGAAAGAUCACAAUGGUAUUACCGGAUCCACGGACCAACCUUUUAACUCGCUAUGAAUCUCGCGAUCCUCCGCGUUGUCACGCCCUCACUUCGAUAUCCACGAACGCCUCGCAAUGUCCGAAUCCAACGAAACGCCAUCUCGAAUCCACCAGAGCCCACGAUUCCGAAUCACACGAACGCGUCAAUCACCGCCGAUCACGACGCCAGUCAUGAAAGUACAUCAUUAGUAUGCGUGAUCCCUCGCUUAGAGGUAUCGAUGAAAACAGGGAAGGAAACUCUAAGGCGAAGCGGAGAUCAAAUCGACACUAUAGAUAUGAGAUUUCAAUAUCUGAUUUGCCGUAAAGAGGCUAGUAUUAGAAAAUAGGUUUUAGAUGAAAUCCAAGCCUCUAGGGUUUCUCAAACAUGUAUUCUCGUGAUGCUUAAUGUGUUAGAGAACCCCAAUAGCUUAUUUAUAGACUUUAGAAUCAAUUGGAGUCGGAUUAGAAAGUUUUCACGAUUUUACAUUGUGUACCGGUACACUUUAAGCUGUCACCGGUUACACGAUGACGGAACGAAAAACCUGACGAAACAGUGAAACCGGUUACAUCCUCGAUGGCCGUAUCGGUACACAUUUUGUAUCGGUACACUUCUGAUGCUGUACCGGUACACUUUGUAAAUUUUCGCCGUUUCGGGUUUUGCAAAGUUCCGAUGCACUUUCUAAUCCGUUAGACAUUGAUAUUAUGAUUCUAAUGUUUACAACUAAGUAUGAGUCACCAUAACAUGAAUUUAUACUUUACCUGGACAUCAUGAUUCAUAUCGUGAGUUAUUUUCCAACUUCUUCGAAAUCUUGAAUUCUUCGAUCUUCGACGAUAUGCACCAAUUCUUCAAGACUCCGACUCACUUCACGAAACUUGCCAACACAUAAGACUUAACAAUCUCCCCCUUUGGCAAUUUCGUGACAAAACUCACACAAACUCAAAAAUUACAAUUAAAAAGAAAAAAACGAAGUUCAAUUGUCAUCACCAAAACAAUGAACCCCUCGCAUGUGAUCCAAAUACAAUAUGAAAUGCAAAAGUACAUCAAAAACUCCUAAAACAGACUCUAUGACUUAGACACAACUAGGAGUCUUGAAGUGUUGAUUUCCAGCAAAACAAUUUAUCCAAAACUUUCUAUAGAGAAUUGUUUUGUUGAAACCUGGAUAUUCUUGCAAUUUACGCUUCUUCUCCCCCUUUGUUCUUCAUUCCUUCUUCUCCUUGAAACAUCACUCCUUAUCUCCCUUUGCUUUAGAUUAAUACUGUAACACACUGGACCUUUGCGAAUUGCGAGGUUCGAGUGUUUGGAUGUGUUUCGAGCUUUUCCGCACUUGGUGGAGGGCUGUAAAAUGUUUCCCGACCCGAAAAGUUCGAAAUCUGGAACUUCGGACUAGUCCUGAGAGUUUUUACUCUCGGGGACCGGUCCCUGGAGGGAGAGACCGGUCCCCCCAGUGAGCAGUGUUGAGGCAGCCUGAGGCAACCGGUCCCUGGCAGGCGAGACCGGUUCCCGAACGCGUCUUCGCAGUGAGAGACCGGUCCCGCGCAGGGAGAGACCGGUUCCCGAACGCUUGUUUUUCGGGUUCGCAGCGAGAGACCGGUCCCUGCUGGGGAGAGACCGGUCCCUCUGGGCGAAAACUGCCCAGUUCGGGCUGAUGCAAUAUUGGAUUUUUGAGGGGCCUCACUGGAUUUUGUUACAUUAGAUGGGCUUAUUAGCCAUUUCCCCCUCUUCCCUCUCUCAUUCUCUCAUUCUCACCCUCUCCCUACAUUUUCUAGAGAGAGAAGAAGAAGAAGAAGGAGGAGAAGAAGAAGAGGAGCUAGCUUGAGGGAGCUUGGAGCUCAACCCCUUUCUCUCUUUCCCACCUUUGCAAGGCUUGGAGCUUGCUUGUAGAGCUUAGUGGUGGACCAAACUUCAACCCUAGGGCAUUUUGGGCUUGGAUUGAAGCUUCCAAAGGGUUAGUAUCAUGUUUCCCUCCUCUAGAUUCUUGUUUUUGUGAUUUUUGGGAGAUGAAACCCUAGAAAUGAGAUUUAGGGCUUAUUUUGGGCAUUUUUGAUCUAGGGCUUUUGGACCCAAAUUGAUUGGUUUAGAACCUUCCUAGGGCUUGGAUUGGAAGGGUUCUAGCUCUCUUUUGGAGCUUUGGGAGAGAUUUCUACUCUUGAGGUAAAUUUUGGCCCUUUUUGCUCCUAGGUUAAUGUUUGAUCUUACGGUUGGUCGUGAUGCUCCCGUAUCUCUUCACUGACCACUUUUAGGGUAUCUUGAGGCUCGUGGACAACUUCGUUCGGCGAAUCGAGACCCUACGCGACGGUUCGGUGGGUUUGACCUAGCCACACAAUGAGAAAUUCUCAUUUGUGCUUAAUUAAGUGUUGUUAAAUGAAAAAGCAUGCAUAUUCUUGUUAUAUGUAUUUAUUGUGAAUUUUAGAAUGCUUAAAAGGCCUAUGUUAUAUAUGAUGAAAUUUUGGACCUCUAUGUAGUAGAGAGUAGCUUAUUGGGCCAUAGUUGCAUUUAGCAUUCUACAUGAGACGUGGUAUCAUGCUUCUAUAGUAUAAAUGAGUUCGGAUUCAUGCAUUUAAACCUAAGUUACUUGUGACAUGAAAAUUGACAAGAUUGUCAUUUAGAAGCUAUGUGAAUUAGAGAGCUAAUGUCAUCAAGCGGCAUUGAGCUCGGGACAUGUGUGAACCUAGUGGAUAGGGCCAUCGAGGGACUUGGGAUACAUGUUGGACACCAAAUUGCCUAAGUGUCAUUAAGGGGCACUAGGCGUAGCAAAUGUUGAAACUUCACAUUGUGACUUGAACUAGAUCUUCGGGAUGCUAGUGACUAUACCAUGUUAGAGACAUGAGGAUUGGAUACUUGAGACUUGGACUUUGCUUGCUUGCCAUUUGUGCUCAUUCGCACAUGCUUGUGAGGGUCGCUCCCUACAAGCCGGCACUCCGGAGUUAGCCUAUGCGACUUAUGUUCGCUCGUGCGGUAUUGAGAAGCCUACGGGGUCGAGUGGGACAGACACAUUCCAAGAGUAGGGAUGUUGGGCUACCACAGGCACUUAGGCGGCACAAGCUGGACUACCUUUGGUAGGUCCUUAAUUGGAAAUGGAAAUCGACACGGUGUUGAGAAUGGUUAAUCACUACUAGAUAGGUUUAGUAGUUGAAUUACAUUUAUAUGCUUUUAGCAUAGUGUUGAGACAUGUAGUAUACUUGAUAGUCUCCUUUUGCAUUAAAGCAUACUUGGUUGCCAUGACAGAACUUAUGCAUAAUGUAUUCAUAAAGGUUAAUGACUUACUAUUUUGAUAUCGUAGAUGUACAUCACCAUGACAUCGUUUAUACUUGAGUUUAGUAAUUUAGCAUUUUAAUUAUGCCUUUAUAUCGCAGUCAUUAUUGCUAUUAUUAUUGUACUUACCCUUUUCUUUUGGGGCCUAGUGGUGCAUAGAGCUGAGGUCAGUAAUUGCCCACUGGGAACUAUAAAUUAUAGUUCUCACGCCCUCUUUUUCUCGAUGUUUUUCAGAGCCUUCCGCUCAGGGUGAGGCCAGGGAGCGCGGAAAGGGUAUCGCCUCGGGCUAGCGCGCUUACCGAGGGAUCGUUCGAUAGGUGGUCUACCUCUCGUGUUUUUCUUUUUGUGAGAGGUUGAGAGUUGUACCCGUAUAUGUAUAGAGACCACCAUUUUUGUACUAGAGACAGUUAUGGUACUACUUAUGGUUAUCUUUGUUUGACUAGCUUUAUUUCUUUACUUUGGUGUAGAUGAUAAAACUUUACUUGCUCUGAUAUCACUAGUUGCUAGUUAUUUCACUUCUCUUAUUUGUUCCAUCUCUUGCUUUUACUUCCUAUUUUCUUGUAGACGCCUUAUAUGUGAAGACAUAUGGCGGGUCUGGGCACGCUACCGGGAGGGCCUCCGCCGGUCCCGGGGCGUGACAAAUACCUACCUGUUCAUCAUCAUUGCUCUCCCCCUUUUUGUCAAAAAUUGCCAAAGACAAAGCAUAUAAAAAGAGAAAACAUACUAGAAAGUAUAAUAGUAGGCAAUUCAUAGUUACAGGCCUAAAACAUGCAAAAGAAAGAUAAGCAAGCAAAGCUGAACUAAACAUUGUCCUAAAAAGUAAACAUAGUGAAGUAACAAGACGAAGCUCGAGGAAGACAUCACUCCGUGUCCUCGUCAUCAUCAUCAUCAUCAUCAUCUCCUGCGCCAGCUCCAGAUCCCCCAGCCUCAGGAGCAUCACCAGACGGUGGAAUGAGAGGAUGUCGUGAAGUCGAUCUUGUAUACGUGGAGUAAGUAGGCUGAGUAGGAAAAAUAUCAUCAUGCCUACAGCCCAUUUUCUCCAUCAUUCUCUUCAUUCCCAUCUCCACCUUCCUCGCAAGAUCAGCCAAUUUCUUCUUCAUAGAGCGCACCUCAUGAUGAAGUGAUUCUACAGUAAUCACUCCCCCUGAACUAGAAGAUCCCUCACGUGCUGCUCGAGGUGGAGGAGCUGAACUAGUAGCUCCUCUGGAUGAUCCUUUGGUUUGCUGAAAAGUCUUCAAUGUGCUCCUUGACUUUGCCCAAGUUACAGCAUCAAUAGGUCCAAGUCCAAAGUCAUACUUCUCACAUGACAUGUCAACUCCAUGUUCUUGAAGAAUCCUCGUGAUCAACAACGGAAACGGAAGAAGAUCACGGCGAACCUGAGACUGUAUGACAUGAACCAUUCGUUGCCACAUAAGAAAAGGAAUAUUGAUGUUUAACCCGUCUGCUUCCUCAGGAUGUCCCAGAAGAUACAGAAGCACCAGACGAUCCCAACGAAUUCUUUUCGUUCCAAUUGUCGGUUGGACAUUAUAGCUCAUCACCAAAGAAAGUAGAUGAUACUCAGGUAGUAAAUCCUUAGACUCCACAUAAGAAUGAUUGGUCCUUACACCCUCCUUGCAUAUAGCGCGAAUAACAGUCUCCCAGUGGGUUGAAGACUGAUAAAGCCCUGUCGUAUAAUGAAGGCCUGUAGUAUCCACAUGCAUACCUAAGAGCUCUCCAAUAGUAUAAGGAGUGACUUGAAUCUUCUGCUUACGCACAUAUAUCUCAAAUACAUAAGUCCCAGUCUCCUCAUCCUCUCCAAGUACCAUCCCGUUCAUAUAGAACUCCCGAAUGAGUUCCACACAGAAUGGGGCACGAGCUGGAACCCGUCCAACAGGCUCAAUAGGGACCCUCUGCAGCAAUCGACCAAAAUCAGGUACCUCCUUGACCAGCUCAGUAAAGUUGACAUAGCGCUCAGCUAGAACUGAUCGGCUCGAAUAAAUCCGCUGUCGUUCUGAAGAAGCCUCUACAGCACGUUUGGAGCGCCUUUCACGUGCACGAGAAUCACCUCCUCGCGAGGAUUCUCCUGCUAGGCCUUUACCUUUAGCAGCUCGAGUAACAGCUUCUUCAGUAGCUUCAGGCGAGCUUGCUUGAUAAUCAGGAUCUUAUCCAGAUGACUCGUCGGCAGUACGAGUUCUCUUUGAUUGACCACGUCGUCCUCGACCACCACCACGGCCACGACCGGCGGCCAUAAGCACCAAAAGUAGGAUCACGAGCGAAAACGCCAUUUUCCUACAUGAAAAUGAGCCAUUCAUGAAGAAAAUUUUGAAAAAAUCUGUAAAAAUAGCGAAAAAAUAUCUAAUAAUCUUAGAAUGCAUACUGAUGCUAUUUUCAACUCAUUCAUGCAAAAAAUUUCAUCAAAAAAUGAUAUUCCAACAAAAAUUCCGAAAAUCCAUGUAUUAUGAUAUAAGGAUCAUAGAUCAGCGAAAAAUAACGCAUUAUAACAUGAUUGAAAUGAUCUAGAAGCAAGAUAAUGUCCAUAAACACUGAUCUACAGUUAAAAAAUUGCAUCAAAAACGAUCAAAAACAGAGAUCUAGCUUCAACUCGGAAUAUUGUUGAAAAAUAAGCAAGAACGCGAUGAAACAAUUUAAAUCCAAGCUAAAUACUCACAAAUCUUUGGGAAAACCAAGUAGAUCUAGAAGAGGGAGUCCCCUGGCGAUUUUAGAGAGAGAGAGACCGAAAUUUGGUUUUGAUUUUAAUGAGAAUAAAAGCCCUGUAACCGGUUAUAUUUCCGCGGCUACAGUGAUUUGUACCGGUACACGGGAUUUUGUACCGGUACACAUUCCCAGAUUUCGAAAAUAUGAAUUUAAAAACCCUUUAAACUUAAAUUAAUUUCAUACAAAUUAAGGACUUUACUCAAAAAAUUAUUAUAAUGAAGAUAGAACAUUAUAAGAUUUCAAAAUCCAUCGAAACAUCACAAUUUUGUUAUCAAAGAUAGUCUAAUGAUUCAAAACUAUCAAGAUGUAAGUUGAUGAAAAAUGAUUUUUAGAAAUUCAAUAAAAUUGACACCAAUUAGUCGCAACACGUUCAAAAUAGAGAUUUAACUACUAUGGCACCGGGAGUGGCUCUUUGAGCAUCUUUUUAACGUACCACCUUAUAACUCCGAAAAUUCUAAUAUAUUUAAUUUUUUCAACCUUUCCGGCUUUUCAAUUAAUCUCCAUGUGGUAGCUUCAUACACUUGCCGGACGACCGGGGUGGUAGCUCUUUUCUACAUGUGGUGGUAGUUUUCACACUUCUUUUAGGAUAUAACUCUUUCCACAUCUUUUAAACAUAGGAGUUUUUUUUUUCUUUUUUUUAUUUUUAAACAAUUUCAAACUCCCCCUAAAUUAGACAAUCUCACAAUUGAAGAUAAUUUUGACGAAUUUUAGUCAAUUUGAGAAUAUCCAUCCAUCAUAUUCAACACACACAACCAAGAUGAACUAAUCAUCAAGAGAUCAAAUUUGAUUUCAAAAUUUUGAUGAAUAUAUGUAAUAAGAAAUCAUAUAUUAAAUUAUCGUCAAAAUAGUAAAGAGUGGAGUAAAACCGAUAAUUAAUAUGAAUUUAAUUCAAGAUGAAUUCCGGUUAAAGAAAAAUUCUAAUCUCCCCAAAAUAAAGAUUUUCAAUCAUCUCCUCUCUCAAAGAAAAAUUUUGAAAUUCCCAAAUACCUUUCCACAAAAUGAUUUUUUUUUUUUAAACCAAUAAAAAUUCAAGCACCAAAAAUCGUCUAAACAUGUAAUGCAAUGAAUAAAAAUAUGCAAUAAGCACCUAUCAAAGCACUACACAAGAAAUAAAAAACAACUAAGACGGGAAGCAAGGAAAGAUAUCACCUUUCCGGAUCCAAACUUGUCGGAUCUUUGGUUUUCUCGGCUUGUCGACGUUUGGUGCCGUUUGUUUAGAUUUUUGAUCAACCGUUGGUCGUUUCGUCGCUUGAGACUUCGGUUGAACUUGUCGUUGAAGCUUAGACACCCGAUUUGCAUGAACUUGGCGUUGACGUUGUGCGCUACAAAUCCGAUUUGCUUCAGAGUUCGGUCGGACUUGAUGUUGUGCAAUAGAAAUCCGGGUCCCUCGAUGUGUCGACAUUGCCAAUUGAUUCAUCUUUUCUUUGUUUAGGCAAUUCCCUUUGAUGUGUCCAUUGAUGCCACAUUUAUGACACACCUUGUCAUUUAAAGUUGUUGAGACUCUAGAUGUUGAUUUUGAAUCCUUCUCAACGUAUGUUCUUUCAUAUCCGAGUCCCAACUUAUUCGUUUGACCCAACCCGAGCAUAUGAUCCAAUUUCUUAGAUCCCAAAGAAAAUUGUUGAAUGUCGGAUUGAAGUUGAUGAACUUGAUUAGUCAAAGCUUGAUUGGAUACACAUGUUUCCUUGAAUUGUUGCUCCAAAAAUCCAAUCUUAUCUUUAGAAGAUUUGAUGGUUGAUUUCGCUUCAUCUAGCUUUUCUUGGAGGUCCGAAUUAUUUUUCAAGUUUGAAUCCCUUUCCUCCUCAAGAGUCUUAUUCAAAGUCUUUAAGUUGUUGUUUUCCUCCUCAAGAUCCAACAAACGACGCCUCAACUUCUUAUUAAGUUUGGCCAUCUUUUUCGACUCAAAAAGAAGUUGAUUGUACGCUUCCGCUAUGUCGUCGUCGUUUGAUUCCUCCUCACUUUCACCAUUGUCGCUCGAAGAGUCAUGCGAAGAAAGAGAAAUAUCGGAAUUCGUAGCAAUAGAGAACAAACAAAUAACAUUGGACGAAGACAAAGAAUUAUUAGCAAUUAAAGUAAUAUGAUCAUUCUUUUCUUCGUCACUUGAACUUGUUUCACUUGAAGUUGUAUCAUCCCACGUCUUUGCUUGCAUAGCCUUUUGUCUAUAGGUCUUCUUUGAAGGACAAUCCGUCGCAAUGUGGUCGUAACCUUUACAUUUGUAGCAUUGGAUUUCUCCUUCAAAUUCAUUUUUUUCUUUUGAAUGCUUUGCAAGUUUCCUAUCCUUAGAUUUAGAAGAUGUAGAUGAUUUAGAAAAAGAUUGUCGCUUAGACGAUGAAGCCUUGUCCAAUUUAUUCUUGUUCCGGAAAUUCCGACGAAACUUCUUUGUGAGGAGCGCUAAUUGAUGUUCGAAAUCGGCAAGCGAAACAUCUCCGUCGGAAUCCGAGUCGUCUUCUUCUUUCUUUGUUGAUUUGAGUGCAACCCCUGUGCUUUUAGAAAAAGACUUGGAAGAGGAUUGAUUAGUAGGAAAAGUCAUCUCAUACGUUUGUAAAGCGCCUACUAAUUCUUCGACUUUCAUCUCGUCCGGAUGCUUAACGGUUUCGAUCGCGGCAACCUUUACCCGAAAGCAUUCCGGAAGAGUUCGAAGAAUCUUUCUAACAACUUUAGCAUCCGGGAUUUUCUCUCCCAAGUUAGCGCAUGUAUUGACUACGUCUUGUAGACGUGUGUAGUACUCGGUAAAGGUCUCGUUUUCAUCCAUAGAAAUAGAAUCAAACUUGCUCGUUAGCAUUUGCAAUUUUUGGACCUUUACUAAGCUCGUUCCUUCAUGCGUAACUUGUAGAGUAUCCCAAAUUUCCUUUGCCGUUUCGCAAGCCGAAACACGAGUAAACUCCGUUUGAGACAAUGCAUUAAAUAAAGCGUUUAUGCCCUUGCCGUUAAACGAAGAUGUCUCGUUUUCUUCUUUCGUCCAUUUGUUCCGUGGUUUUGGCUUUUCAACAUUAUCGACCUUUUCUAUCGGAUGUUUCCACCCAAAUUCAAUUGAUUGCCAAACCCGCUCAUCGAUAGCAAUUAGAAAAGCUCUCAUGCGAACUUUCCAAUAGGCAUAAUUCGUGCCGUCGAAGAGCGGAGGUCGAUUAAUGUUACCACCUUCGGCCAUUAGAUAACAAUUUAUCUAGAUCCCGCUCUGAUACCAAUUGAAAGUUUUGAGGAGCCCAAGGAUCUAUCUAGAUUGUAUCCAACACCUAGAGGGGGGUGAAUUGGUGUAAUAGCCACAAACCACAAAUCUCAAUGCGAUAAAAAUAAAUACGGAAAAUAAAAAUCACACCGAGAUUUACAUGGGAAAACUCCAACUUGGAGAAAAACCCACGGGACCAACACGCGAAAAAAUAAUUCACUAAGAGAAAAGAUUACAAGGUGAUUACCGACUCCACGGACUCAACCUCUCUUAACCUCCUAUGAAUCUCGCGCAAUCCUCCGGGUUGUCCACGCCCUCACGUUCGAAUCCACGAACGCCUCGCACACGUCCGAAUCCACGAACGCCACUCGAAUCCACGAGCCCACGAUCCGAAUCCACGAACCGCCGUCAAUCACGCCGAAUCCACGACGCCAUCAUGAAACACAUCAUGUGUAUGGUGAUCCCUCGCUUAGAGUAUCGAUGAAAACCAGGGAAGGAAACUCUAAGCGAAGCGGAGAUCAAAUCAACAUAUAGAUAUAAGAUUUCAAUAUCUCGAUUUGACCUAAAAGAGGCUAAUAUGUAGAAAAUAGGUUUUAGAUGAAAUCCAAGCCUCUAGGGUUUCUCAAAUAUGUAUUCUCGUGAUGCUUAAUGUGUUAGAGAACCCCAAUAGCUUAUUUAUAGACUUUAGAAUCAAUUGGAGUCGGAUUAGAAAGUUUUCACGAUUUUACAUUGUGUACCAGUACACUUUAAGCUGUCACCGGUUACACGAUGACGGAAUGAAAAACUUGACGAAACAGUGAAACCGGUUACAUCCUCGAUGGCCGUACCGGUACACAUUUUGUACCGGUACACUUCUGAUGUUGUACCGGUACACUUAGCAAAUUUCCGCCGUUUCGGGUUUUGCAAAGUUCCGAUGCACUUUCUAAUCCGUUAGACAUUGAUAUUAUGAUUCUAAUGUCUACAACUAAGUAUGAAUCACCAUAACAUGAAUUUAUACUUUACCUGGACAUCAUGAUUCAUAUCGUGAGUUAUUUUCCAACUUCUUCGAAAUCUUGAAUUCUUCGAUCUUCGACGAUACGCACCAAUUCUUCAAGACUCCGACUCACUUCACGAAACUUGCAAACACACAAGACUUAACAAAUUGAAUUACUCAUGAUGAAUGCAAGUUCUCGAUCUCGAAGUUCAAUCUCAUGGCUAACCCGUAGGUUUCGCCCUCAAGCAACUCACCAACUCGUAAUCCCAAUUGUCGAGCGAGACUACUACAACCCGACAGGGACCGUCCUCUGGGGAGACUACUACACCCAGUGAUGACUACUCCGGAGCUCAUCACCCGAGGGGGAGCUACCGCCCUCGAGCCAAGACGUAAGGCGAGUAUGAUCCAAUCCUUAACUAUAAGGAUAUAACUUCAAUCCAUUCCUUAACUAUAAGGAAACAAUGCAUUCAUGACCCUUAACUAUAAGGUUGUAUGUCACAAUGUCAUCUCUCACAUGUACUUGCAUUCUUUGUUUUCGAUCAUGCCAUUACACUAACUCUAGUGUUCUUUAUGCCACAUUUGAUGCUAACUCUAGCAUUUAUUGUUCUUUAUGCCACUCUUGUUCUUUAAAUGCCCCACAUUAACUCUAGUGUUCCAAUGCUCUAGCAUUCAAGUUCAUUGCUCAUGCCACACACACUAACUCUAGUGUUCAUCUUUGCAUUUACUAAUGCCACUCGAUCUACAUGUCAUAGUGUCACAUUGUUCUUUACCUCGACUAGGUUUUGUUAUCACCAAUCAUGCAUACAUAGGGUACAUAGGUUCUCAACCAUCUCAUAAUGCAUUUGUACUCACAACAUGCUACCAUUCACAUGAAUAUCAUCUCAAUCACCAAGGCGGAAACGAAGCCAAAAUGUUUGUACUCACAACAUGCAUUUGUACUCACAACAUGCAUUUGUACCAUAUCAUUUUUGGACGUCGCCUCGGCCCUCCAGGCGGAAACGAAGCCAAAACGUCCGUUUCUUCAAUAUCUUCGUGUAGGCUCGACGAAUCGCUGAACCGACUUCGCCAACACGUCAGAAAUACCUUAAAUUAGGUUUACAUAGGGUUAAUUUAGAUCAAACCCAAACAUUUUACAAAAAUCCCAUUGGAGCCCUAACAUUGUACCAAUGCAAGAAUCCAUCAUAUAACUUCAUGAUUCAAGCAUUAACCAUCAACUUAGCACCCUAGGAUGCCUCUAAAAUCAUUCUAGAGCUUAAAAAUCUAAACCCUAGAAAUCUACCAUUAGAGCUCAAAGCUUACCUCAACAAGCUUUCUCCAAUGAUCCAAGGAAGAAGAAGGAGAAGUAGAAGAACCUCCUUCAAGUUUCAAUCUCCACCAAAUCCUUCUCUUGAUUCCACCUUCAAGAGAGAGAGAGAGGGAUCCUUCUUUGGUUGCUAGUGUGAGGGAGAGGGAGAGAAUGUGUGCGCAUGCUACCAGGACCCGCACACAUAUGGGUGCUGCAACAAUUGCACAAAACCCCUUUCACUAAUAUUAACACAACUUCAGUUUAGCAGCUCAGGUACAGAUACUUUUCGCCGGCCCUUCUGAAUAUCCGUUUGUGCUCAAAUUUGACAGUCAGGCUCGGUUUUUACUAAAUAAACGGAAUAUAUCUUAACUGUAAGGAAGUGAAUUCUCGAAAUAUGAGAGUUGAACUUUAGUUAGAAUCGACUGAUUGUCGACUUGGUGUGCGUCGGAAAGCCGAAGGCAUCAAAAUGGCCAAAGGUGCAUUGGAAUGGAGUCCGCGAGAACAAAUGAUGUAGAAAACCUGCACUUGGCAGAUUUGCUCUCGGGGACCGGUCCCUGGCGGGAGGGACCGGUUCCCGAACAUGGCUCUGCGCGGGUUUGCUCUCGAGGACCGGUCCCCGGUAGGGAGAGACCGGUCCCAUCGGUUGGUGGUUGCGGCGAUGCGUGACGCAACCGGUCCCCGUGUCACACCCCGGGACCGAUACCAAUUUGGGGCGGCCCGAGCACGUCGAACAGACGCCGAACGGACAGAGUUUCCCUUGUCCACCCAAGGCUCAUCACAUGUACAAUUUCAAACAAGAAGUGCACUAGCGGAAACAUACACAAACGGCUUACACGAGGGUAAGCAACAGCCAUGAGUGAGAGAAAGGAACUAAACAUCUACACAAGUAUUAUGAUUCACUUUUGAUCACAUACAUGUAUCCAUUUCAUCCAACUUGCACAUUCAUAAAGUCUUUACAUACUUUUCAUCAUUUCUUUUUACAUCACAUUUGCUCAAAAUAAACAUUACAUUCUUUUCUUUCCUUCCUUUAUACAUUAACAUCUUAAAUCAUCAAAUACAAAGGAUGAUAAAAGGGAAUGCUACCACAAAAUGUAGAUAACCCGACUCGGGUGGCCUCUGACUAAGGUGCGAUACCUUUACCGCGAUCGCUCGCCGGCUCGCUCGGUCCCGGCUCUGUGGAAUAGUGGGGUGAGAACUACAACAAAGUUCCCAGUGGGUUCGGCCCCAACAUCACCGACUUUCCCACUAGGACUAACUCAGGCAUAAUAGAAAGGAUAAGCAGAAUAGCAACCGAACUAUAAUCAUGAUGCUAAUAUGCCUGAACAAUAAAGCAGGAAAUAUGCUCAACGUAAAUCAUGCAAGUUUGCAAGUUCUUUAUUCUUUUACUCUUUGUUCUUUGUUCUUUAAUCUCACGGCUAACCCGGGGGUUUCGCCAUAUUAACUUGCCCACAUUAAGUCCAUCGCGGGCCCUCAGCUUCCUCCCGCUAAGACCGUCCUCGGGUUUACUCCAACCCGUGAUGCAAAACUCCGGAGCGCAUCGCCCGAGGGGGAGUGACCGCCCUCGAGCACGGAUGUAACACACUGGACCUUUGCAAAUUGCGAGGUUCAAGUGUUUGAUCUGUGUUCCGAGCUUUGCCAGAUAUUUUGGAAGGUUGUUGAUAGUGUUUUGACCUAUGGUUCGCAUCCCGAGAAUUGAGGUUUAAAGCUUGUACCAAAAUCCAAAAAGAUGGAUUGUUGGUCCUGCUCUCGGGUCAGCCUCAGCCAGGCUGUGUACCGGUACAGCCUUGAUGGUUGUACCGGUACAGGAUUUGUACCGGUACACCUUGAUGGUUGUACCGGUACACUUCGGAUUUUCUGCCAACCCGAGGCUCGGGUUGGGCUGUUUCGUAGGAAGUGUACCGGUACACUUUUCCGUGUACCGGUACACAAUGCAGACUGGGCUGUUUUCGGGGAGGGGUGUAUUUGUAAUUAUUGCAACCUCUUUAAAUACCACCCCAGCCCCCUUAGCUGCUCUUUUGAGCCCUAGACCUGUGGAGAAAAGGUGAGAACUCUUCCCCUUUGGAUUCUUCUCCAUUUUUGGUGGAUUUUAGUUCGUUUUGAUCUCUCCUUUCUUCUCCUCCUUGCUUUUUGUUGGGUUUCCUCCAUUGUUGAAGACUUGGAGCUUGAAGAGGAGCUUGUUUGAGAAGAGAUCUCCAACCCUACUUGAUUUGGAGCUUGGUUUGGGGCAUCUUGUGAGGUUUGUAGCAUGUAUUUCUCUUUUCAUACAUGUUUUAGUGGAUUUGGAUCUUGUAACCCUAGAUUUUGAGAUUUAGGGUUAGAAAUAGGAACUUUUGAUUUGAGGCUUCUAGAACCAAAUUGAUUGGUUUAGAAUCAUGGUUUAGGUUGGCUUUGAAGGAUUCUUGCUCCCUUUUGGAGAUCAAGAGAGAUUUUCACCAUUUUCGGUGAGUUUUUAGCCCUUUCUUUGAGUUGCUUAAUGUUUGAACUCAUGAAUUGUCGUUUCGAUGUUGUAACUCCCCUAGCCUAUCUCUUAGGGUGCUAGGAGUGAUUAUCGAAGCUUCGUUAGCGUUUCGGACGCCCGCGCGGAGCUUUUGGUUGGUUUGGCUUCACGUGAAUAGGGAAAAAUUCCUCCUAAGGGGUUAAUAUGUGUUGUAUUAUCAUUUUGCAUGCAUUUUCAUACUAGAUAGGAUUUAUGUGAAUUUUGAAUACUUAAAUGCAUGUGUUGCGUAUCAUGAAAAUCCUUCUCUACAUAGUAGAGCAUUAUGUGUAGUGUACAUGUAUGUUUAAAGUAUUCUCUUUUUCGAGUUGGAAAACAUGUUGCAUGUGAGGAAGAUGGUUGAAAUAUGUAUUCAUGAACAUUAAACUCAUGUUUGAAUAUAGUGAACUAGAAUGCCAUAAAGGGGCACUUGACUUAGUAAAUUGUGAAAUUGCAACAUAGAGACAUAGUGAUAGGACAUCGAGACAUAUGCUAUAUUCCAUGUUUUAGACAUGACGACAUAGUGAUAGGUCAUUGAGAUAUUUGCAACAUUCCAUGUUUUAGACAUGAUGACUUGGUAUUUGAGACGGACUUUUACGCUUGCUUGCCAUUGUGCUCAUUCGCACAUGCUUGUGAGGGCCGCUCCCUACAAGCCAGCACUCCGGAGAUAGCCAUCGAGACAUAUGCUCGCUCGUGCGGGAUUGGGUGCCGAAAUGGGAUGUCGUGGGGGAGGCUCAUUCCUAGAGUGGGGAUGUUGACUACCACGGGGCCAUUAGGCACGGCGCAGGCCAGACAGCCUACGGGUGGGUCUUACAUGAUUGGAACUUAGUGACAGAACAUGCCAUUUGGACUUUGAGCAGAAUAGUAAACAAUGACAUUUACUAUUUAGCUUGUGGACAUUAUGUUAGUGAUGCUCGUUUAUCUAACAUAUGGAAACAUGGAGUUGCGAUGUCAACUUUGAUCUAGGGGAUCAAAGUAAGGAUUGAGCUAGUUGGACAUCAUCCUUGAGUGAUUUGUGAUGCGCGUGAAUGAAUUCUGGAGAUAAAUAAGUGUUUCGGCGCAAAUUGGGCGCGAAACAUAAAGUAAAGAGAAUUUGCGGAUUUCCGACGCUAACUUUGAUUAAAAGAAUUAAAGUGAGCAAAAUAAUAUCAAAUGGUGUGAGAUACCAUUUGAUUGGAUUUAAGGGCGUAAAAUAUAAGUCUGGAAUGACUCGUGUUGAAAUCGGAGCGAAAACAGAAGAUUUAGAAUUUUCUGUAAAGAACGGGACUGAGAAAAUUAGCAGAAAAUGCACAGUGUCAGAAAAUUAUGAAAAUUGGCAGAGAUGUCAGGAACACUGUUAUGAGGCUAGCUUUGAAGUUUCAUAUUAUUCUGACACCUGUAGAGAGAGAAAUGGCAUCUGAAAGUUAUCUGAUAAAGAUUACAGUUCGGGACAGUUCGCAGUGACCAAACGGGGUCGAAACUGAAAUGUUAAAAUUUCAGUGGACUUGUUAAGGAAAACCGAGUAUUCCUGCCAAAUUUGAGCUCAAUCGGACUGUCGGAAGGGCUUACGAAAGGUAUUUGAUCCGUGUCGCUACAUGGACUUAAGUCGAGGGGCAUUAUGGUAAUUAACCCAUGCUUUAGUGGAUUUCCACUAAGUUCCCUGCCAGGAUGCCUCCAUCCUUAUCCCCUCCUCUUCAGCUUGCAUACGUAGAGAGAGAGAAGGAGAAAAGAAGAGAAAAGAGAAGAAGAGAGAAGAGAAGAAGAAGAAGAAGAAGAAGAAAAAGAAAGGUGAGAAUUUCUUCUCUCUCUCUCUGCUGACUAUGCCCCUUCCCCUCCCUCUCCCUGCUGUCAGCCUCGGCAGCAGCAGCCUCAGCAGUAGUGAGCAGCAGCAGCAGCAGUUUUUGCUGCUGCUGCAAGCUAGAGCAGCAGCAGCAGCAGCUCUUGCUGCUGCUGCUAACCAGGGCAACAGCAGCAGCAGCAGCUUGUAGUAGCAGCAGCAGCAUGCGCAGCACAGCAGCAGCAGCAGCAGCAGCUUGUAGUAGCAGCAGCAGCUUGUAGUAGCAGCAGCAGCAGCAGCAGCAGCUUGUAGUAGCAGCAGUAGCAGCUUGUAGUAGCAGCAGCAGCAUGCGCAGCACAGCAGCAGCAACAGCUAAAGCAGCAGCUAGCAGCAGCAGCAGUAGCAGCAGCUAGCAGCAGCAGCAGUAGCAGCAGCUAGCAGCAGCAGCAGUAGCAGCCAGCAGCAACAAUAACAGCAGCAAUAGCAUCAGCAGCAGCAGCUGCAACAGUCAGCAGCAGCUGCAGCAGCCAGCAGCUCAGCCAGCUGCUGGAGCAGCAGUGGACAGCAGCAGCAGCUGCUGGAGUAGCAGCAGGCAGCAGCAGCAGCUUCAGCAGCAGCAGCUGCUGUCAGCAGCAGCCAGUCAGCAGCAGUAACAGCUACCCUGCAGGAAAGAAAAGAAAAGAAAAGGAAAGAAAAGAAAAGAAAGAAAGAAAAGCAAGAAAGAAAGAAAGAAAGUAAGAAAGCUGCAGGGAAAGAAAAGAAAGAAAGAAAGAAAGAAAAGAAAGAAAGAAAGUAAGAAAAGAAAGAAAGCAAGAAAGAUGAAAGAAAGAAAAUGAGAUAGAGAGAAAAGAUGGAAUCGAAGUAUUUGGGCAGAUUUUACUAAUUGUUUUGAGGUUCUUGGGCUAGUAAAAAGUUGAAAUACUUAACGUAAUUGUGAAAUUGCAUUGAAACGAGUUUCUAUAGAAACUGACCUCAAUAAUGCACUUUUGCAGGAUAGAAGUCCUCAAAAGAAAUUGACCGCGUACAAACCUAAUUGAGGGUAAAAGAAACGCGUUGGCGAAGUCGGUUCGGCAAUCCGUCGAGCCUACGCGAAGAUAUCGCCAAAAGAACAUUUUCGGCGACAAGUGUCGGGAGCGCGGGUCGCGAUUCGUGGAGAAGUGCGAGAAGUGGAUUUCUCUCAUUCCAGUACCAAGUAAAGGUGGGUUGUGCUUUACCGAAGUGAUUAGGUCACUUCCAUGCCAAAGUAAAGUAUGGUUUCAUUGAUGCAUAUAUGAAUAUGAUUGUCGAUAUAUGACAUUAAUGCUAGAUGCUUAUGAAUGAAUCGGCCUAUAUGAUUGUUGAUAUAUAAUGGUAAUGUGAGAUGAUUUAUGGUAGUUAUCAUAUGAAUAUGAAUG
RNAcentral lists this long non-coding RNA (55438 nucleotides) under Ananas comosus (pineapple). RNAcentral's name for it is "long non-coding RNA (ACOM_LNC026623)". Lineage: Eukaryota; Viridiplantae; Streptophyta; Magnoliopsida; Poales; Bromeliaceae. The record is from RNAcentral.